Molecule: long non-coding RNA, 59563 nt
Filed under: Lathyrus oleraceus (garden pea)
Lineage: Eukaryota; Viridiplantae; Streptophyta; Magnoliopsida; Fabales; Fabaceae
Description: Pisum sativum (pea) long non-coding RNA (PSAT_LNC032156)
Source: RNAcentral
GCACCAAGAAGCUUCUUCACUCCUGCACAGCAUGGCGGUGGAGGACUGGCAUUAUUAGGAGCUUGAAGAUAAGUAAGGCAUGGAGCCAAAUCACCGGAUACAGUUCCACAUGACAAAGCAGCUUCUGCCAUAAGCUUGAAGAUAAGUAAGGCAUGGAGCCAAAUCACCGGAUACAGUUCCACAUGACAAAGCAGCUUCUGCCAUAGGCGCAAUAACUACCAUGCACAUCACCAAAGCAACACAUGCUAAUUUCAUGCUUGUUGCCAUUUUUGUUUUCUUUGUUUUCUAUUCUUUUUCUUAGUUUGUUUGAAUGGUGUGUAAUGUCUUUGUGGGAGGGGGUUUAUAUAGAAAAUAAGAUAAGGUUUGAAGAUGAGUAGAUUGAUGAAUUUUUUGUGAAUGUGCAUAAAAAUUAGGUGGUAGUUGUGGUUUGAAUUAAUGACGUAUGGUCCAUUAUCUAUAAUUAUUGAGCAUUUGUCUCACUAUCUUUAAUUUAUUAUUUAAUGAUAUGGUACACAGUUAGAUUGGACGAUAAUUACUGUAGUUUCCGAAUUCAAUUUUCCACCCUCCUUCUUUCUCUUCUCUAUUUUAUCGGUGCUUUCUGCGCUUUGUAUGAUUUUUAACUUUCUUAUAUAGGAUUAUCUUAUUAAUACUACUAUUUUAAAAUUUAGUAUAUUUUUUUAAAAGCAAAUAUUAAAAGAGGGUGGGAUAUAUAGAAUGAAACUUGUUUCGCCAUAGUUUUGAAUGGUUUUAGUGUUAUGAUUCGAGAUUUUGAUCUUAGGGGUUUUAUUAGAAAGGACAUCGUCCCUCCUAAAGUACGUGUUUUGUCUAAUGCCUCUUUAGAAAAAAUGUUCAGAACAUGUAUGUGAAAUUUUACAUGACCAUAGGAUAGAAAGCAAUUUUGGAUUGUUUGAAAGCAGCACAUGUUCAAAAUUUCCUCCUUGCUAUUAUUAUUAAUGGUCAUGCCAACAUAUGACCCUGAUAGAAUAUCAUACAAUUCUUAAAUAUCGAUUUAUGAUUCCCUUAUUUCUUGUCGACAAAGUUUUCUCUGUUUUUCGUAAGGUGUGCUUGGAUAUAUUUGGGGUGUCAUUUGACAUACUUUGGCGUGCCACGGUACCUGUGAAGAAAGAGUCACAUGUGAAUUUUUGUACUGACCACGUGAGGGAUGAUCGACACUUAGGCCAACAAAUGUUUUAGUGUACGAGUGGAUAGGAGAGAAACAUGCAUAUGUAGACUUGAUUUCAGUUUUGACAAACAUUUUAAAAAUAAAUCGAACACGCUAGGUUAAAUUACACGAAACGUAGAUUAAUAAAAUUGAUGUUUGCAAGCUUGAUUUUGAAAAUUUUCGUCAACUAUUUUGACACACAUUUUACAAUUGAUUCAACCGAUUUUCCUGUAGAUACAAAAAUUUAUUUCGACUGACAUUCUAGACAUUAUGCGGUAUGAAAUACAUGUUAUGUUAUGCAGAGAUGCAACAAUUAUGAUGAAUGCAUUGAAUCGUUGAUUCACGGUCAAAAUCGGGAUGUGACAAGUUCUACCAGGGUUUCAUCAAGGGUUCCAUCUAAGGUUUUUAUCAAGGGUUCCACUAGGGUUUCAUCAAGGGCUCCAUCAAGGGUUCCAUCUAAGGUUUUUAUCGAGGGUUCCACCAAGGUUUCAUCAAGGCUCCAUCAAUGGUUUCAUCAAGGUUUUGUCAGGAGUUUUUAUCUAGGGUUCCACCAAGGUUUCAUUAAGGGCUCCAUCAAGGGUUUUAUCAAGAGUUUUUAUCAAGGGUUCCACCAGGAUUUCAUCAAGGGUUUCAUCACGGGUUUUAUCAAAGGUUCCACCAGGGUUUCAUCUAAAGGUUUCACCAAGGGUUUCAUCAAAGUUUGAUCAAAGGGUUUCAUCAGGGUUCCACAAAGGGUUUCAUCGGGGUCCCACCAGGGGUUAUGUUAGAAGUUUCGUUAGCAGCGAUCGGAGGAUCACUACAAUCCUACUUGAAUUUCGUAAAAAAUGAUCAGAGGAUCAUCGGAAUCAUACACAGGUUUCACCAAGAGGGGUUGAAACCUACCAAAGAUUCUGGUUCCAUCAUAGUGUUGCAUGGAUUCCCCCAAGGAAGUGGUUCAAAUAUUUGAGUUCCAUUAAGGAUAUUAUUCGGGAUCCAUUAGAUUGGUUAUGUGAGUUUCACAAGGGUUCCACCAAAAGUUGGUUUAGAUACCAACGAAGUACAAAAGGCAUCAAGUCUUUAUACAUCCCCAAAAAAUCUACUAACUCCAUGGACAAAAUUAGGGUCCCUCUCUAUAUUUAAUCGUCUUCCGUCAUGAGAGGAUGAAGACUCGCCAUCACCAUCAUCUCAAUUUAAAUUUGAUUAAAUAGGGACAGUUGUCUUACCCCAAAAUUUGUCUGCCCUUCAUAUGUUUUCUAACGCCACUUUAUUUCGAAUAAAUGAAAUGACACUGUUUUUUUACUGAGUCCCAACUUUAUUUUUAAAAAAGUUUGUUUUUUUAUUUUUAUUUUUUUAAAACCACUGAUGGAUUUUCUUUUCUAUUUCAUUAGUGCCUUUUAAUUUGAAAUUUAAAUUUUAUUUAUUUGAAUAUUAUAAUAUAUAUAUAUAUAUAUAUAUAUAUAUAUAUAUAUAUAUAUAUAUAUAUAUAUAUAUAUAUAUAUUAAUUAUAUAUAUAUAUAUAUUAGUAUAUAUAAAUCUUUUACUAAUAAUUUACAAAUUUUUGUAAAUAAUAUCCACUACUAUUUCGAUCACAGAACAUACUAGUAAUAUAUUGACAUGUGAUACUUCCCUAAUUAUUCUGCAUCUUGUAUGAUUUUCAAUAAAAAUAUACAAAGUGUUGUACCAUAGAAUAAAUCAAAAAACUUAAUAUAUGAAACUAUUAAUAUGAUAUUUAAUUAAGUUUUUAGGCAACACAUAAUUGCAUCAAUUAACUCUGGUUGAUAAAUUAUGACUAUUUAUUUACGUUUUAUAAAUUAUAUUAUAUAUCACAUAUAUUUGAAAAUAAUUCAUAUUUUACAUAAAAAAGAAAUCAAUUUAUUUUAAGUAAUUGUAUAUAUAAGUAUUUUAUCAAUUCAACUCUUAAAUUAAAAUUUUAAAUUGAUAACUUUUAUAAUUUCUUAUAAAAAUUCAAUGAAUAUUGAUUACACGUGCAUUUAAUCUUGUUUUCCAAUUUAGACAUUCUUGAAAAUAUUUUAGAAGUAAUAAUAUAAUAAUAAAAAAUCAUGCAAUACAUCUAUAAUUUUUUUUACAAUGUAUAACUUAAUUUUUUUUAACAAACAAUACAUAUAACAUAAACUUAUACUAGUAUUUAUUAUUACAUAGAUUAAAUGGCCCCACAUCCUUAAUUUUCUGGAUCUACCCCUAGAUCCUACAAACAAAAACCAUCCCACGUUACACUACACAACCAUUGCAUGUGAAAAAUAGUAAUGUAUGUUGGUACAAAGCAGAGAGAAAGAAUGGUAAAAGAUCUAGUCUCAUCUCAUUUUUAGUUAACAAUUAAUUUCUUUUUAUUUGAUUUAACUAUCAUUUAACUAUCAUUAUUUUUAUUUUUAUUUGACAUUUGAAGCAUAGGCUCAAACCUAAUAGUAUCAAUCUCUUCAUAUAUCAAAACUUUUUUAAUUCAUGAAUUGAAUAGUUCUUUUUUCUUUUCAACAAAUAUUUAAACUUCUUGGUGCUUUUGUUACGGAUUUGAUAAAGUGAUUUGGUCUUCAACGCCAUUGACUCAACGUCGCAGUCACUCUGUCGACACUUCCUCUCAAACUAGAAGGUUUUAGGUUUAUUUUUUUUCCUUUUAUCAUAUAAAUGUGUGAGUCUGUCUUUGGCCCAUGUGUAUGUCCAUUUAAUUGAUUUUGUUCUACAUGUUAAUUAAUUACAUUUACACGGUAUAUUAUAACUCUUAGAUUAAUUUUUGUGUCAUUCAGCAGAAAAGUAUAUUAAUGUAAUUUUGUUUGAUACUUGAAAAGAUUAAAAAAGAUAAUAUUAUAAAAACACCCAAAAUAUUAAUUUAGUUAAUUCUCUUUUAUUAACUCUUUUUUCAUUUUAUUAAUUUCGACCACUAAGAUUAUUAACAUAUAAAAGUAAUAAACUCAUAUCUUAUUUUACUUUACGUUAAAAACAAAAUAAAAGUCAAAAAUAUUUCUUUACAUAUUUAAAAUAUUUCUUCUCAUUUUUAAUUCUAAAAAUUUAAAAAGACAAAAAAAUAUAUUAUAUAUUUUAUAUCUUUGUUUUUUGUUUAAAAAUUAAUCUAUUAGGUCUAACUUAAUCUAGUUUAUUUUCUUCUAAAUUCAUUUUAAAAUAAAUUUAUUUCUUUAUAAUAAGAAUAGUAAAAAAAACAAUAAUAAUAAUAAUAAUAAUAAUAAUAAUAAUAAUAAUAAUAAUAAUAAUAAUAAUAAUAAUAAUAAUAAUAAUAAUAAUAAUAAUUAUCUAUGUAAAUAUGAAUUUAUUUUCUAAAUCAAAUUAAAACUAUAUUUUGCAAACUAACUUGAUUGUUUGGCGUCACACCUUAUCGAUAAAUAAUUCAACUAAAAACUUAAAAUCAAUUCAAACACAAUCAAAUGUUAUUUUCUCUGUCCUUGUGCAUUGAUAUUCGCUUUUUUAAACAAAAAUUUCUCCGCCCUGGUGCUUGAGAUAUUUUCACAACUAAAAUCAACAAACAUACAAUAUUUUCUAGACGGAUUUCAGUACUUUGAUCAUUCAUAUUGCUUGAGGGUACGUAGGCAUAGAGUUGUAACACUCUGGUGAAUACAAUAACAAAAACCUUUUCUCUGUCAUCUUUCCUGAUUAAAUUUUUCUUUUAUUAAAAUGAUAACCUAAUUCCCUGUAAAUAGGUAUAUUAAGCAAAAAUAGAUAACAUAAGAAAACACCCCAUAGAUAACACCUCCCCCUCACUAAAUCGACUCCCGAACCCUAAUGCACUAUCCUUACCUUUUAGGGUUUUCUCAUUAUUUCCCAUGUUCAUUAGGAACAAAUAAAAUAUGGUGGCAACUCGGUAAUUUUCCAGCCGCGACAACAAUAUUCCAUCUUAAAUAUCUUGAGUAUCUCACUUGUAUAUCUUCUUUGAUGCAUCACCAAAUCUCUACUACUCUUGUAGAAUUUGAUGCCAAGAAAGUAUGAAAUGUCUCCCAAAUCAAACAUUUCGAAUUCCUUGCUAAGGUCACCUUUGAAGUCUUCGAUCUCUUUCUUACAAUUACCAGUUCUUAAUAAGUCAUCGACAUAGAGAUAUAGUAUAAGCAAUUCACUCUUGCUUCUUCUUACAUGUAAUCCAUGUUUAGUUGUGCACUUCACAAAUUCGUCCUCCCUUAGAAAGCUAUAUAUCUUCUUAUUCCAAGCUCUUGGAGCUUGCUUAAGUCCAUACAGGGCUUUGUACAACCUGUAUACCUUGCUUUCUUCGACUUGUUUCACAAACCCAACUGGUUGUGCAACAUAAACUUCUUCAUCUAAGAGGGUCAUUUAAGAAUGCACAUUCACAUCCAUAUGACACAUAUGCCAGUUGUUCGUGUUUGCUAGACUAACAACCAACCUGAUUAUUUUGAUCCUAGUAACAGGUGCAAAAACUUUGUCGAUUCCUUCUUUUUGAAGAAAUCCUUUCGCCACAAGUAUUUCCUUGUGUCGAGUUACUUCUCCUUUAGGAUUCAACUUCACCUUGUAUACCCACUUCUCAUUGAUUGCCUUCUUGUCUUUAGGCAAUUCGACAAGUGACCAAGUGUUGUUGACUUCAGUGGACUUCAGUUCCUCAUUCAUUUCUUUCAUCCACUUCGAAUCCUUCAAUACCUCGACUGCAUUGACUAGUUCAUCAUAUGCAUAGAAAGCAUAGUGUACCAGCUCACCUUUAUCAUCAACCACAUCAUCUAAUGUAAUCACACAUUCUUUCAACCUUACAGGCAUAUGUCUUGUUCUUUGAGGUCUGUUUGUGCUUGUUUGACCUCUGACUUCUUCUUGUCGAACUUCUCUUUCGAAUUCACUUGUUGGGUAUUCACAUAGGAUUCAUACUGAAUCCUUCUUGACAUUUUCAGUCCAAUCACAUUCCUUAAGCUCAUCUAUGAUCACAUCCUUGUUGAUCAAUAAUUGCUUGUUCAUCAAUAUUGUUUCAGAAUUCUCCAUAGGUUUGGUGUAUUUCCACAUUCAGGAAUUUCGUCUUAAUCCCAACAUCUGGUAUCUAAGCACUAGCUGUGUGAUUCUUGGGAAGCAUAAUGCUCUGAUUGAUUACACCUUUUGUUCUCCACUCUUCACUUGAGUGAAUCAACCAACCUUGAUUUCAAGAUGAUUUUGUUGCACGAUGACUAUUGAAGAAGAAAAAAAAGAUGAAUUGAGGAAGAAAGGAGAAUUUAGGGUUUGAGAGAAAAGGGGAAGAAGAAGAAGAAUUCUGCAGAGUUUUUCUUUCUGCUUUCAAACUGAAAUUUUAUUCAACUUUUUUCUAUGCAACUGCAUUACAAACAACGAUAAGUACCUCCUUAUUUAUAGGUUGAUAUUGCUUCCACACCAACCAAUCACCAACUAACCUAACUAACUAAACUAAAACAAACAAAUAAAAUUAAGUCAAAAUUAUGUCGAGAUACACUUUAAUAUUUCGACAACUCCUUUCGAACAACAUGCUUCAAUAUAAGAAAUUACAUUUUCAAAUAUAUAUAUAUAUAUAUAUAUAUUAUAUAUAUAUAUUAUAGAUUUUUUUUUUUUUUUUUAAAAUGAAAGUUAUUGUCGACCAAGACUUUCCUCAUUUUAAAGGCAUUUAUUAUUAAUCAAGUGAGUGCCUCUAUCAAAUUUUCAUUUAUAUAUAAAUUUUUGCUUUUAAUCAAUAUCCAUUAAAUAAAUGGUUGUUAUCCUUUAAACAUGACACGAUAUAUACUCUCAAGAGAGGUAAACACCACUUAACUUUUUUCAUUAAUGAACCAUGGAUAAAAUUAAUACGACCUUUAGUAUUUUAAAUUGACAUUAUCAAAACAAUAAAAUGACGAGAAAAUUAGAAAGAAAAAACAAAUUGAUCUUUAGAAUUGACUUAUCUAACACUGCAUCGAUGAUAAUAAAAACAGGCAGCAUUAUGUCGACAGGGACGGUUGCCGACCAUACUGUGUGUCAGCAAAGUUGAUAAAUUUCACCAUAGGUGUUCCUUAAUCACGGCACCGAAUUCAUACCCCACGAUGUUGUGGUACCCAUUGAAAUUCAAACUGUUGCUAUUUUGCAGACUGCAAUACAUUUUUUGUUUGGCAAUAAAGUUAGUCAGCCAUGGAUCCAUAAAUAAUUGAUUGGAGCUUAGUUAACUGUUUAAAUAUUCAUACAAAAAAUAUUUUUAUUUAAAAAAAUUUAAAAAUAACAAAAAUUGAACACACUUGCUUCUAAGUUUAAUCUCUCUAAUUUAUUCACUUGAGAAUAGAUUAGACUAGAGAAUCAAAUUUAGAAUAUUUUGUAAUCAAUUGUGUAAAUGUUCAUGUUGUUAUAAAUAUAAUAAAUACAAUGAGGAAAGGCAUCCCGCCAGAAUUUGUGACAUCCAUGUCACCUUUAUCAAAGAGGAAAUGAGACACCAUAAAAUCUUUAUGAUAACUCUCAAAGGAUCCGUCAUGGAAUAAAUCAUUAGAAUACAACACCAUAAAAUCUUGGAGGAAAUUAUGUGAAGAUUUCAUAAUACAAUUCAUAACACAUUGGAGAAAGUUGAAGAGAGUAGUGUUCCUUAGUGGGAUCCAUUAGAAGAAGAAUGAUACCUCAAAUACAUGUAAUAAUUGUGAGGUCAUAGUAAUUUCACGUGUAAAAGCAUGUAUAAUUGUAAGGAUAGGGUGAUUUCAAUGUGAAAUAUGAUUUUCCACAAUAUCUUGAAUUCCAUUAUAACUCACUCUAAUUCAUGCAAUAUUAGUCAUAAAAAUGGUUUAAAUGCUUUAUAAGUAUCUUGGAAAAAGUAGUAUCAUAGGGUGUCACCAGACACAGACACUUAUUUUAAUGUUUCGUCUAUUUCUUAUCUUCAAUUUCAAGCAUUUUAGUAAGUUUAGAAGGACCAUUUAUUUAGCGUUAAAUGUGAACAAAGGAUCCACUGUCAUUAAGUGGGUUCCCGAUUUAUAUGAAGGGAUAUGUAAGUCAUGGUAACUCGAGAACCACUUAUGAAACUAAUCUAUAUCCAAACUUAUCAAAAUAGAAAAAUCUUGAUCACCACAACUUAAUCAUAACAUCUUGAUCUUCAAGUACCAACAUUUGGUAAACAAGUUUUGAUCUUCAAGCACCAUCACUUGAUCCACAAUAUGUCAGUUACCACCACUUGAUCAACAACUAUCAAGAAUCAUCACUUGAUCAACCACAUAUCAAUCACAAGAUCCACAUAUAAAGCACCAUCAAUUGAACAAUAAGAUGUCAAGCAUCAUCAUUUGAUCAACAUAUCAAGUGUCAUCACUUGAUUAAUCUUCAAGCACAAUCACAUGAACCAACUUAGACUUGAACAAGACUGAUGAAGAAUUCUCUUAAGAGUCUUGUCAACAUCAAAACCAAAAUAAUACAUUGUUAGAGUCUUCAUACCUGUAAACACAUAGAUCCACAUUAUCCUUUUUUUUUGAUGAAAAAUAAUCUCUUAAGGAGUUGGAAUAACAAAGAAAAAAUGUUAUAAAACUUGGAGUGAUUAAACUCCCCCUACAAACAUAGAGAGUAUACCCUACUUCCCCUGAGAGUAUACUUUUGCCCCCUUGGCGUUAUCAAAAAUUUGGGGAAAAUUAAGCAGAUAGACUUGUAUAUGAAUUAUUCAAGCACAUAUAUCAUAAGAGAUGUGCAUAGACAUUUAAUGGAAAACAUACUUCAUCAAUUGAAAUGACGGAAUUCAAAUACAGAAAGGGAAAUAACAAGGAAUUUAAAAGACUAUGAAAAGAAGGAAAAACAUAGGUGAGAUAACUAUUUGUUGUCAUUAAUAUCAUCAUCUAUGAUUAUGUAUUUUUUGUUGUUGAGUUCCUCUUGAUGAUAACCAUGUCCUUUAUUAAUUUUUGAAUAGCCAUAGUGUUUUUCUGAGAUAUUUUCAGAAGGUGUUAAUGAUUGAAUCAUUUGUUGUAUCUAGAUGGAUACUUCAUUUAUGGAUUUGUUCCAUAAUUCUCCUUGAAAGAUAUGAACCCUCAUACUACUGAGGGAUGAGUAGUUAAUACUAUAGUGAUUGAAUCCAUAAAUUCCCCUUGUGUUGACUCUUAGAGUAUCUAUAAUAUUGGUGAUCAAGGCUCUAUAUCGUGACCCUGUUGAUCGAGACUGCUUGUAGGAGGUCAUAUGGAGAAGCAUCUCGUUGAUCCAAUUUGUUUGAAACUGUUGGGUAAGCAGCCACAAAGGGACCAUAUAUUCUCGAAUGAUGACUUCAAGAUUAUCUUGUAUAGGGAAGAGUAUAUGUGUGAUAAAAUAAUGUUGGGUGAGAAUAUGGAGCAUAGAAAUGGUGUAUAUGGGGGGAGGGGGUUGAAUACACCCUUUUGAAAAAUUUAACCAAUUUUUGAAAUGAAAAAUCAGAGUUUUUGAUGUGGAAGUCUUAUAACAAAAAAAGAUAGACUUUAUGCUUAAAUUGGAAAUUAACCACGUAUACAAUUACCUAAUUAACAAAUAUCUUUGAUUGAUUAGAGAUAAUAUCUAAAGAGUUACAUGCUACGAUGAAUUGUCACUUUGUUAAUUACACAAGAUAUGUUCUUUACAAUAUCCAAUUUCUAUGAAAGUUUAACACAACAGUUUGUAGAAUUUAAUCAGAACUAAAACACAAAUAGAUUUUGAUUCUAACAAAACCUAAAUUUAUAUAAUAAAUAACUACCAACAGGUAUUAACAAUAAAUUACACUAAGAAAGGUUAACCUAAACAUGCAAUAGCCUACGAAAAAUUAAAAUGAGAGAGAGAAAGAGAGUGUGAACACUAGGAUGUAUAGUGGUUCAGAUCUAUCUUCCUGCAUGAGCCUAAUCCACUCUCCAAUUGUUUCUCAUUAAAAAAAUUUCUUCAACUAUGUUUUGAAAAAAAUUACCUGAGUUCAUACAAUCAUUAAUCCAUAAUAAUGCUGAGAAAAUAAAUCUUUUAUCUGGAUCUUAACUUGUACACUGCCUUUAUACUGAACUCUUUGUGAAAUCUUUACUCGGUUAUUGCUUCUUUAAUCUUCCAGAUUCACCAAUAUUCUCCAAGUCUCCGUGUAUGGUAAUCGCCCAUGAUCUCACUAAUUUCUUGAGCAAUGAAUUGUCUGAAGAUUGAGAAGAACCGCUACCUUGUAUGUAGGCUUCCUUAUAACUCUGCCAAGAGAUUUUGAGUUUUCAAAGAUAUGGAAGUUGUUGUUGUUAUGUUCUUGGUUAUUAUAAAUUGAGAUGACAAAAUAAUUUAUAUGUGCUAGAGAUUACGCACAAAAGUAUGUGAAAAAUGGUUCUUAGAUUCGAGUCAAGAACAUUUGUUGAUUUGAGUCAAGUGAGCAAGUAAAGUGGAACAAGAUUAACAUAACAAAAGUGACUUAUUUCCUGUGAUUCGAGUCAAAUUAUAUGUAUGAUUCUAGUUAUACAAGCUCAUAAUUUGAGUCAAGUAGAAACCCUGAUUCGAAUCAAUUUGAACUGAGCCGAAUAGUAAAAUGUGAAAAAACUAUGUGAUUCAAGUCAUUUGUAAAGUGUGAUUCAAAUCAAACUGGGAAGUGGCAAAUAGGAUUUGUAUGAUUCAAUCAUGUGCAACUUGUGAUUUGAGUCACAGUGUUGUAUAAUUUUGAAUCAAGUUAAAAUUGUGAUUUGAGUCACAGAUGCAAAAGUCUCCGGCUUCCAUUCCCUGCACAUAGACCUUAAUAUUUUCUUAGCACAAUCUCUGCCAAAAACGGACUUUCCUAAAUUGUUGAUUUUGUUGAUUAAGUGGAAGAACCUAGUCUUCAUGGAUUCCACGAAUUCUCCGGGAUCCACACGAAAUAGUUCGAACUCAUCUGUUACCAUGUUGAUCUUAGAAUCCUUGACGUCAUUUGUUCCAUUGUAAAGGGUUUGAAUAUCGUCCCACAUAGAUUUUGCGCUCUUAUGAUGUAAAAUAGAGUAUAAUACUUUCACACUUAAAAUUGAGAUAAGUAUGUUACUCGCUUUCAAAUCAUAUGAAGCCUUUUUGGUUUCAUCAUCUAUCUAAUCCUUUGGGUGUUUAACAUCUACCCGUAGAUUUUUAUAAAUUGAUAAUAAAUGUACAUACAUAUUUUCUUUCCAAUAAUGAUAAUUAUCGGCAUCUUCACCCAUAUUCCCAAAAUUUUGAGUCACUUAGACCUGAUCAAAAUACCAACUUUGAUACUAAUUAUUGGGUGAGAAUAUGGAGUAGAAAAUGGUAUAUAAUGGGUGAAUAGACCCUUUUGAAAAAUUUGACCGAUUUUCAAAAUGAAAAAUCGAAGUUUUUGAUGCGGAAGUCUUAUAGAAAAAAUAGAGACUUUAUGCUUGAAUUGGAAAUUAAUCACUAAUAUAAUUACACAAUUAAUAAAUAUCUCAGAUUGAUAAGAGAUAAUAUCCAAAGAGUUACCACCUGUGAUGUAUUGUCACUUUGUAAAUUACACGAGAUGUGUUCUUUACAAAAUACAAUUUCUAUGAGAUUCUAACACCACAGUUUGCAAAAUUUAAUUAGCACUAAAACACAAAUGAGUUCUGAUUCUAAAAAAAACUAAACUUGUGUAAUAAAUUGCUACCAACAGUAAUUAACAAUAAACUACACUAAGAAACGAUUACCUAAACAUGCUAUAUCCUACAAAAUUAAAAUAAGAGAGAGAGAGAGAGAGAGAGAGAGAGAGAGAGAGAGAGAGAAAGAGAGAGAGAGAGAGAGAGAGAGAGAGAGUACGCCCGAAUGUAUAAUGGUGCGGGUCUAUCGUCAUCAUAGAAGCCUAAUCCAUUCUCCAAUGGUUUCCCAUUGAAAGUUGUCAUUCCACUAUGUUUUGACAAAAAUUGCACGAGUUUAUACAAUCAUUAAUCCAGAAUAAUGAUGAGAAAACAAAUCUUCUAUCUGGAUCUUGACUUUUACAUAGCAUUUAGGAUGAACUUUCUGUGAAAUCUUUACUCGAUUCUCGCGUCUUGAAUCUUCCAACUUCACUAAUCUUCUCCAACUUUUCGCGUGUGGCAAUCACCUCUGAUCCCACCGAUUUCUUCACGAAGAUUGAGAAGAACGCAUACCUUGUCUGUAGGCUUCCAUACAACUCUACAAAGGUCAUCAUAGAGAGAAGAACCUUUUUUUUUCACCAGAUUUUGUCACCACAAGUCACAACAAUCCCAAUGAUAAAGUUUUUACUGGUUUGUCAACAAAUGUGAAAGAGGGGGAGGAUAAGUAUCUUUAUGGCCAGUAGUUGGUUUCUUAUAAUUAACAUCCCCUUGGACCUCUUUCUCCUUCAAAUAUUGACUUUAGAACCUUAUCAUGUGUAUGAAUCAAUAGUGAAUCAAGUUUUUAACGUAACCCCCAAAGGCGUAGUGGUUUUUUAGUGUUUCUUUCAUCCAUCAUUGGUGGAUUUGGUGUUUGAGUUCUAACUUGGUUCAUAUUUGUUGGUUACUUGUUGUAUUAGUAGCACUACUACAAAAUAGACGUUUGGUAACACCCAUUUUACAACGGUUUUCCUAUUAACCGUGGUAAUAAUUUUUUGGGGCGUUUUUUUUUUGUGUAUUUACUAAAAGAUAUUUCACAACGGUCAUUGAUACCAACUGUGGUUAAAAGUGGCGUCUGAUCAUGAGUUUGAAUCUCAGCACCUACAAUUUUGUUUUUAUUUAUUUUUAAGCCACUUUUCACCACCGUUGGAACUUUCAACUGUCGUGAAAAGUGGAUCCUGGUCAUGAGUUCGAAUCCUAGCACAUACAGUUUUAUUUUUAUUUAUUUAUUAAAAGACAUACAACAACGGUUGAUUAAAGUAACUGUUGUGAUAUGUUAAGACAUAUAACAAUGGUUGUUUAAAGUAAUUUUUCUGAUAGGUACAAUUUUUUUUUUAAUAUUUAUUAAAGUAAGCAUGUUUAUUGAGUUUCUUCGCCAUUCUUAAAUAAAUCUUUGUCGGCCAUUUAGUGAGUAUCAAUGCCCAAGACACUACCAUUGGUGAUCCGCAUGAAACCUAAAACUUAGAUGAACUUUCAACUUAGAAGAACUUCAUCUUCUACCUCCAAACAUCUUCUUCCAUUUAUGACUCUCUAUUUCUCCACUAAAUUAAACUCGAAGACAUUCUUUCUUCCAUAAGCAAAACUCAAAAACAUCAUUUCUUUCAUUAACAAAUUCCAGAACUCCAUCACCUCUUCUCCCACUUGAAUGAGACAAGGAAAACAUGGAUUCUAGUUAGCAAUGUUAGUGUUUUUGUUAUUUUGUUGUUGUUGUUGUUGUUGUUCUAUUGCUGCAUUUUUAUUUUAUUUUAUUAAAAGUCAUACAACAACGGUUGUUUAAAGUAACCAUUGUAAUAAAGUGAGACAUACAACAAAGGUUGUUUAAAGUAACCGUUGUGGUAAGUAGCGUGGUGAAAAAUGUCAUACAUACAAUCAUACCAUACCUCACAACGGUUGAUCCAAAGUGGUAGUAUCCAUUUUCCGACUGUUGUGAUAGAUAUUUUUCGUAGUAGUGUAACUAUUCGAUUUUCCUUUUCUUUCUGCUUAUUUUUGUUCUUGGUGAUUGAUUGUAUUAGCUCCAUCAUUUUAUCUUUUAGUUUUUUUUGUCUGUUUUUUUUUCUUUGGAGGUUUUUCUCUUCGUUAUUAAUAUAGUAAUUGAUAAAAAAAAUGUUAGUAAUAUUUUCCGUUACCACGUUUAAACAAUCCAACUUAUUAGUAAAACCCAUUUUGUUGUAGAUAAGUUUAUGCAACUUUAUCCAUAAUAAAUGUAAGUUAAAUAUGAACUUAAUUGUAUAAACUCAAAUCUCCUUAGACUUACGAAAUGACAUUAAUAUCAAACAAACUUGCUUUUAACUUUGUUUUUAAUUGUGAUACAUUGCAUUUUUUUAAGGGUAUUUUAGAUUUUUCUUUCACACUAUUAAAUUAAUAAAAUCACAACUUUUGUUGCAUUAAAUAUAUUUAAUAAUAUCGUUAUGAAAAAGACAUAUCAAAUUAACUUUUCUAGCCUCUUAUCUUGAUUUUUCAUUUGUGAUACAAUGAUUUUUUAAAGAUGUUUUACUAUUUUACAAUAUUAUAUUGAUAAUAUCAUAAGUUUUUUUUUGCAUUAAAUCAAUUUAAUAAUAGCAUUUAUAUAUUAAUUUAAUCAUUAAUUAUUAUAUAUGUUAUAAAAGAAAAAUUAUCUUUGAACCACAACUAAGAUUUAGAUUAAAUUAAUAUUUUAAUAACUAUUGUAUAAAAAACAAUAAUCAUAAUAUACUUUAAUUAUACUUUUAACGUUAAUAUGUAUACACGGGACAAAUGUUUGUUUGGCAUUGAUCAAUAAAUUAAAUUAAUAAAAUUAAAAAAUAAUUAUAACAUAAUUUACUAAAAUAAAUUGAUUCAACAGUCCUUGUCCUUAAAAUGUUGGAGUUUCAUAUCUUUUAAAAUUUUCAAACUUAAAAUUAUAAUAUAUAAAAUAUCAACGUGACAUUUAAAAUAAUUCAAAAUAAAAAUAAUAAAAUCAUAUCAGUAUUUUUGGAAUUAAAACAAAUAAAUAAUUGUUGAGUUAGCGAGCCACACAAAUCCUUUUGUCCAAUCAAAUUCCAAAAUAUUUAAAUGAUCUAAAUCUUUAUAUUGCAAGAUUGUUUUUGCAAAAAAUAGUUUUACAGGGGCAUAAAUUAAAAUUCGCCUAUGGCACGGGGAAAUGAUAUUAACCAUUUAUAAAAUUAUUCAUUAAAAUUAAUCUCUUUUAAAUAUUUUUAAAACAAAUGAGAAUAUUUAUAAUAUAAUAAUUAUAAUUUUUCAUACUUUUAACAUUUUUUAUUAUUUCAUUUAAAAAUUAAUAACUAAAAAUAUUCGUUGACACAUCCCGUUCAUACACGAUUUAGUCCAUAUUUGAUUUUGAUAAAAUUUUGAAUAAUUAAUUUUUCUUAAAAGUGAAUUGAAUGUUUUAUAUUUUGAUACAUAGUUGAAUUAUAAGAAUUAAAAAUCAUGUUAAGACUCGAAAUCUACCAAUGAUUGUGUCUUCGAAUUAUGAUAAAUUAUUCAGGGAAAAAUAAUUCUACCAGAAGGCAAAUAAACAUACUAAAAUUGAUUAUAAAAUGGUAAAUCAAACAAAGAAUUAUUAUUUUUAUAUCUUAAAGAGAAAAUUGAUUCUAAAAUACUAAUUUAAGUUUAUUAUGAAAAUUAUAUAAGAAAUAAAUAUUAUUGAUUGAAGAGUUAGUUAAAAUUAUAAUUAUUUUUAAUAUUAUUCAAUAAAAAAUAUGAACAAUUACAAUGCAAUUCCUACAAUUGUGUUGCAUAUUUUAAUUUUAUUCAAGUUGUUUAUCAAGAAACAAGACACUUAAAAAGGUAUUCUAGCAUACAAUUCUUACAAAAAUAAAUGUUUUUCCCUAAUAAAAUAAUUAAAUUUAAUAUUUUCAAUAGCUUGUAGAUAAAAAUAAGAUUAUUUAUAAUAAAAUAUUAAUUAAAGUGAAAUAUAAAUCAUUGAUUUUUAUUAUAAAAAAAAGGACAAAUAGUCGUAACAAAUACAUAAAAAAUACAAGAUAGAAAUAUUUGUAACAGGUAAAUAUAAAAAAAAAUAUAAAAUACACAUUUGUCAUUGUUACAUAGCAAAAUAAUACGCAAAUAUUUUUUAUUUUAUUAAUGCGAAAUAAAAACAAAAAAUUAAAUUCAAAUUCAAAAAAACAGUCUCCUCCAAUAUGUAGAUUUUGAUAGUGGUUUUGCAACAUGACUCCUCCAUAGCAGGAGUUGUAGAGACUCUCAGCACCACCUCUCACUCUAUUGAGGUUGUUGUGCACCUAGAUCAUCGUCGAUGGUCUUUGCCGUCCUUGGUGAUUUCCAUUGAUUUGUAUCUUAACCCCUUAGGAUCCGUUGUCUGUUGUCCACUAUUCAGAAGGAACUCCGUGCCAGAAUGGAUAAACAAGACACUGUCAACGACAACAUUCAGAACAUGCUAGCUCAAUUGCUUCAGAGAAUGCCUCCGCCUCCCAACCCCUAGGCACUUAGGAUUUUGUUUUUAGCCUGUUGUUUUGGCUUGUUCUGAUGACUUGUUCUUUUUGUCCUUGUCUCUGUUGCUUUUACUGAAUACAAUGUUUUUUUCUUGAAUUAUUCUUUUCUGCUAUGUCUUUUGAUUCUGACAAAAAGGGGAGAAGUCAUUAAAUGCUCUGACGAAAUUCUGUUCUAAAUACUUAGCACUUGCAACUAUUUUCUUAAAAUAAAUUUAUCUACACUAGACUUAAGAAAUUGCAGAGGGGCAACAUUAGCUGGGUGGUAAGUUUGGUAUCAAGACCUCAUUCCGCUUGGAAGCUUGGUAAAACUUUUGACUCCCGUAGCCUAUUCUCAGGGGAGGUCUUGUCUAUCUGAUCUGAUAUUGUUUAUGUUUCAUCUGCUAAUUAAGUUUGUUUUGUCAUUUUCAGAAGGGGGGAUUGUAGAACAAAUUGGUGAUCGGUACAGCAGAUUCGGCUCUNNNNNNNNNNNNNNNNNNNNNNNNNNNNNNNNNNNNNNNNNNNNNNNNNNNNNNNNNNNNNNNNNNNNNNNNNNNNNNNNNNNNNNNNNNNNNNNNNNNNNNNNNNNNNNNNNNNNNNNNNNNNNNNNNNNNNNNNNNNNNNNNNNNNNNNNNNNNNNNNNNNNNNNNNNNNNNNNNNNNNNNNNNNNNNNNNNNNNNNNNNNNNNNNNNNNNNNNNNNNNNNNNNNNNNNNNNNNUGCUAUGUCUUUUUGAUUCUGACAAAAAGGGGGAGAAGUCAUUAAUAGCUCUGAUGAAAAUACUGUCUAAAUACCUUAAGCACUCUGCAACAUAUUUUUCUUAAAAAUAAAUUUAUCUAACACUAGACUUAAGAAAUUGCAGAAGGUAUCAAGAAACCUCAUUGCUUGGAAGCUCUGGUAAGAACUUCUGAACUCCCUAGCCUAUCUCAGGGGGAGCUCUUGUCUAUCUGAUCUGAUAUUGUUUAUGUUUCAUCUGCUAAUUAAGUUUGUUUUGUCAUCAUCAAAAAGGGGGAGAUUGUAAGAACAAAAAUUGUUCUACAACAGAUUCCAUGAUUUUGAUGAUAACAAAGGAUGAAACCAAAAAUGGCACCCUAACGAAAAGUUUCUAAGUGUGCAGGAUUCUAAGGAAAGAAGGAAGAGAUCUGAUGACGUCAUCAGAUACAGAAUCAUAUCAGAUACAAAUUAUCAGAAGACCAAAAGCAUCUGAAGUAUAAACACGCUCAAGAAAGUCUAACUCUGAGCAAAAACAACAAAAUAUCAGAAGCAUCUGAACAAGAAGUACGCUCUAGAAGUUCUGACUCUGAACAACGGUAUGUCAAACUCCAGAAGCUAUCAGCGCUAUCUGAAGAAACCAUCAGAACUUAAAAGAGAUCAACAUCAGAAGUUAGAUAGCAAGAUUCCAAGAUUCCCAGAAACACGAAGACUCAGAUCUUGGAUUUCCUAAUAAGGAAAGAGUAACGUUAACUUCAAAUAAAGGCUUGGAAAUGGAUUUCCUAAUACAGAAAGAGACGUUAAACUCCAAAUUCAAAUGAAAAGGAACUAUUUUUGGAAAGUAGUCAUUCGAGGAGAGAAAGUUGUCUUGGCAAGAAGCUAUAUAAGUUAUGGCAUUAAUUUAAAUUAUUGGCCAUCACCUUCAACGACUACUUCACUCCUAUAUAUAAAGGACUGCAAAUCAACAUCAAACACAAGAAUUUACUGAAACAUCAACACACAUAAACACAUUUUAUUCUCUCAAUCUUCACGAAGCUUUUGCUUAGAACGUGAAACACUUUGUUCUUGCUGUUGUAAUAUUUGCUUAUCUUAGAAGCACUCUAGAUUACAUAAGUCUUUAUCCUUGUUUUUUUCCUCAAGUGACUCUGCGCAGUCUGUAUACUUGAGAGGACUAAGAGAUCUUCUCUUAGACGUCGUUUGUAAUCAAUCUUUCAAGAUUAGUGGAUUAAGUCCUUGUUGAAGGCGAAAUCACCUUGGCCGGGUGGACUGGAGUAGCUUUGUGUUAUAAGCGAACCAGUAUAAAUUCCUUGUGUGAUUUUCAUUUUUGAAAAAGCGCUUAUUUUCAAAACAAUUCAAACCCCCCUUUCUUGUUUUUCUCACCUUCAAAGGUUUGAUUUGAUUUUGUAUCAGACAAUUUUGCUUGAAAGAGUUAUAUGGCUUUCACAAUUUGGUUGUGUUUCAGGUUAUUUUAUGGACAUCUCAUGUUGUUCAUAUUUUGCAACAAUAUGUUAUUGAUGAGAUGAUUUAAUUAUGUUUUUGUGGUCGGUUCAUUUGCCAAUUGUUGUGAAAUAUAAAGCUGAAAGUGAUACUUUAUUAAACCAAAGACAAUGACCUUAUAUAGCCUUACAGGAGAAAUAAAGAAAUAACAGAAGCAAACUAGAAACUAGGAAACAGACUCCAUUACGUAAUUAUAGAUGACUUAUUCAACUAAGACAAAUUCAAACUACAACAUACCCUCCCUUAAGCUUAACUCUCAUGAAUUAAGCUUAAUUCAGACAAGUUAACAAUUUCAAGUAAUGCUCUCAGCUUCUCAAACUGCUCCAGCUUCAACGACUUCGUAAAAAUAUCCGCAACUUGGUUUUUUGCUGCACAAUACUCCAGCUUAACAGUUUCCCCAUUCACCAGCUCUCUAAGAUAAUGAAACCUUACUUCGAUAUGCUUACUUUUCCCAUGAAGGACUGGAUGUUUGGACAAAGCAAUCGUCUAACUUGUAAGACCCAAAUUUUGACCCUAAGAUCCCUCAUGGCAUCAUAUCAUUGCACAUUGCAUUUGCCUCAAGGAUCAUAGCAUCUUGACUCCUUAACCUUUGGGUAGGACUUGUGUGAGUUGGUCUGAGACCACCAAGAAUGCUUGAAUAGUAUAUUAUUGCUUUUAUCAUUUUGUUUACUAACCAAAAUCACAAAAAAUAUGUCACUAACUUUGUUUGUUUUGUAGCUUGAGCAAUCAUAAGAUCCAAGGCUCCUAGGAGACCCUUACUCAUUAGAAUGGCCAAAUGAAGUUGAAAGAAAGCAUGACAAUGGUUCACAAGGCUCUCAAUCAUCAUAUAUUCCUCCCAAGUAUCUCAGUUUGUCAAUUUGAUCAAGAUAAACCAAAGGACUUGAGGCCUGUUUCCCAAGGAAACCCUAAUUCAUCUGUGCAUUGAUUGUGCCUUGCUCAUGAAGUAACCUCAAUCCAUGAUCAAAUAUAAUCAAGGGAAUUUCUUUCAUUCAUCAUUUCAUGAAUAUUUGAGCUUAUUUGAGUGUCCUCAAUCAUCAAUUCAUCAAGAUUUGAAGUUUGGACUUGAGAAGUUGAUCAGUCAAUUCAUCUAACUAUUUUAAAAUCCACUGAGACCUAACUUUUGAUGUGUUUGUCAAAUGAAGAUGACCCCAAGAGAAAAAAUGUUCUUAAGAACCAUAUGAACAACUUUCAUGUUCAUCAAAAAUUUAUUUGAAUCUUGUAAGGUCAUCAUCCAUUUCAAAACAUUAUAGGUCAUUUUGACUGAAACCCUAAUUUUGGGUCAACUUCCCAAGGACCUAACUCACUCAUUUUUCAUGAUUUUGAGGUGGGAUCAAAUGAAUUGGAAAGACAUCAUCCAUUUCAAAACAUUAUAGGUCAUUUUGACUGAAACCCUAAUUUUGGGUCAACUUCCCAAGGACCUAACUCACUCAUUUUUCAUGAUUUUGAGGUGGGAUCAAAUGAAUUGGAAAGUUUAACAUGUCUACUUCAUUUUUUAUGUUGAAAAAAUGUUCAUAAUCCUAAAAGAAGUACAUGUGAUAAUGCAAAACAUUAUAGGUCACUUUGGACCAAAGUCAUUGAAAUGUGAAAAAGUCCAACUUCAAGUGCCCAUAACUUUCUCAUCAAAAAUCCAAAUGAUGCAAAAUUUGAGUACAAAUUGAUUUUAUUGAAAAGAUAUACAACUUUGAUGUUGAAGGUUUUGUCAUUUGAGGCUUGCAUCAUUGAAACAGAAGGGCUUGAAGUUGGUCCAUUUUGGCAAAAUUCUCAUACACAUAUUUUGUACAUGGAACUUCAUGAUCAGUUUUCAUUAAUUUCCCAACUCCAAAUGGAUUUUUGUUCAACAUAAAAAUUGUUCCUCAUGUCAAGGCCUUUCCAACCAUUACCCACAUGACCAUGAUUCAUUUUGGUAAGGUGCAUUUUCGAAGAGAUGAAAGUUUAUGUUCAUUUAUGGAAACAAUGUUAAAAAUCCAUGCACAAGCCAAUUCAAUCACACUUGUACGUCCAAUUCAUCUCAAUUACAUAUGAACACUCAAUUGCCAUUGCAUUUGGGCCUCCCAUGCGCCUGUACAGGCCCAUACAUAGAGGCCCUCACUUCAUGCACACAUGAAUUUCACCUUGCUUGCAUCACCUUGUGCUAUAAAUAGAGAUGCUCAGCUUCACUCCAAAUCAACCUUAAGGCGCCUUACAUGCUGCAGAACUGAAUCCCCACCUCACUCAAAGGAAUUUUUUGCAUUUCACUUCAAUUUUUCAGUCUCAAUUUUCAACUUCCUUGGUUGAUUAUUGAGCUCUAAUUCCUUAGCCUCACUUCCUUUCCAUCUCAAGAACACACUGCUAUCAAGAAUUGGGAGAGAUCGUGAUUCAUAGAGAUGCACUUCAAAGGUUGUUGUUCAAACUUUUUCAAUUCGAAUCUCACUGGAUCUUGUUAUUUCUUGUGUUUGUUGGCUCCUCUGAAGUCCUUCAUAAGAGGCAAUUGAAUAUUUAAUUUCACGAAUCCAUCAAGUUCAGAUUGAACACCAUAAUUUUCUCUCUCAGAUUUCUCCUUCUAUGAGAGUCUAGAGGAGAAACCAAUGGCACAGGGGUGAUGUACAUCACCCCAGCUUUCUAAUGAUAUGAGGAUCGUCCAUUUUGGUUGAGAUUUCAUGACCUGCAACUUCCACCGGAGCUAGCAUGCUUGCCGGAGAAGACGGUGGUGUACACCACCGUCCCCGUUGCCAGAUUUAAUCUAGGCCAUUUGAUUGCAUUUCCAGAUCUAAUCAUAGCCUUCAAAUCUUAUGACUUUUAAUAAUGCUAUGUGUUUCUCGUUUGACCAAAGUCUAUGAUGCGCGCGCGCCUGUGAGCCAUCUGAUGUGCCACAUCAUUUAAUGAGAUUGAUCCAACGCGUCAGGCUUUUUGCAUUUUCUGAUUUUUCUAUUUUAUUUUCUUAAUUUUAUUUUAUUUCAAAAAUUCAUAUCUCUUUCAUUUUAAAUCCAAAAAUUAUGGGACCAAUUGCAUUAUUUCCCUUUUUAAUUCUAGUUUCUAAAAAUGAUUUUUAAUAUUUUUUAUUUUUCCAUUUGAUAUUUUUUGUAAAAUUUCUCUUUUCUGGUUAUUUUUAAUUCAUUUUAAAUAGUUUCCAAUAUUCAAAAAAUGCAAAAAUAUUUUCUUAACAUCUUUGAAUGAUGAUGAAUCUAUGAAAAAUAUUCUCAUCAAUUUCUGGAAUUGAUUUGAGAUUUAUUUGAGAUUUUGUUCAAUUAUGUUUAUUUUUUCAUUUUUAAUUGUUUAAAAAAUAGGUUCUGGUUUCCAAAAUGCUGAAGUUUUGUCAAACUUUGUUUGACCUUGUUGAACUUAGGAUGAUCCAUUUGGACUUUUCCAAGUUGAUUUGAAAUGGAUUUGAAGUUUGACCUUUAUUUGAUUAUUUUAAUUCAAGUAUUAUUUUAAUUUUCAAAAAUAGCAAAAAUAUUUUAUUUGUUUCUUGACUUCUAAGCUUCAUCUUACUUCUGUUUACCAUUGAUUAACUUUGAUUCCUUUCAUCUUUGGUCAAUGUAUUUUGCUUUUGUCAUUUGAAUUUCCAUUCAUGUUCAUUCUUAUUCUUCUUCUUCUUCAUCUUUUUUUUUCUUUUUGAUCAAUGAGUUAGAGAUUGGUGGUUAGCCUUGACAUAUGAGGGGCUUAACCUUAUUUGAUUCAAAUCUAAUUCAUCUUGAUCAAGGAUCAAGUGAAUGACUUUGCAUUAGAGAUAGGUUGCUUCUUAGUCAAGCAAAAAAUCUAAAUCAAUACAAGAUCAUUCUUCUUUUAUUUUGGCAUGACAAGUUGUAGGAGCUUGGAUUACUAGUCAUGGUCUCUAACUUGUGUUUGUUGCCUAUAGUUUUAUUGACCGGCCUCAGAUAGGUGUGACUACUACAUUAGUCCACUUACGAUUGCUUAACAUAGCGCUAAAUUGCCUUAUGGCACACACUCAGAUAGGUGUGACUACUACAUUAGUCCACUUACGAUUGCUUAACAUAGCGCUAAAUUGCCUUAUGGCACACUAACAUUAACUAUUAACACUAACUUUUAAUUCAAGUCUUUAAUUCUUGCAAUUUACUUUAAUGCAAUUUAAUUUCUUGCACAUUAAUUCAUUUGCUUUUGCCCUUUACUCACUUGAGCUCAUGUUUAUGUUAAUGCAAUUUGCCUUUUGCUCACUUGAGCACAUUAUUGUGUAUAUACUAUUGUGCUUGUUUUAUUUUGAUUGUGUGAACCCAAUGCAAAUGGACAAAGGACUUAGAUUUUAGGACCUUGCCUAUGCUAAAUGGAGUCAAAGAGAAACUAGGCCUCAUGCCUUUAGAAUGCUAUGAAAGAAAAAUGUCAAAGAGCAACUAGGCCUCAUGCCUUUAGAAUGCUUAAUGUUGAAGAUGAAUUGAAAGGACCUCUAAUUCUAAACUCCCUCUUGUCCAUUCUUUAUUUGUUUUGUGGAACUUUUUUAUUUGUGUGUUCUUGUGCUAGGGAUCCCAAACUUGCAAAGUAGAAGAACCAUUGUCAUGAGCAUCCAAAGUGAGAGAUACAAAAGCCAUUGGAAGAUUCCUAGGAGCUUGAUUGUUAUGUGCUUGAUUGCUUGAGUUAUUUGCUUAUUGCUUGUUAUAUCCAAAGGAAGGAGCAACUUGGAUCAUCACCAUGAUCUCAAGAAGGAAACUCCAUUGUGGUUUUAUUUCUCUUCCUUUAUCCUUGCAUGUUUAGGACUUAGCCAUUCUUCUUCUUCCUUCCACUCUAACCCAAGCCAAACUUUUGUGCACACAUUAACAUUGUUUUCAAAAUUAGAAACCUAAGCUCUAUGCUUUUGAUUUUUUCAAACUCUUUUCAUAACACUUAUCUGGAAUUGAACCCUUAAGUCAACUUUGACCAUACUUUGUGAAUACUUUUCAUUUGUAAAUACAACUCACUCAAUUGUUUUGUGGUUUCAAUGGCCACUUUGCCAAAGCUUUUCAUAAACAUUAGCUAUUAGGUUUAAGUUAUCCUAGAGGUUGAUAUAAUACUCACCUAUAUCCUUAGUGAUAGGAUUAUGAGUCUUCCAUGCUUAUUAUAGGGUUAACCCCUCACUAGCAUGUUGAAGCUCUCCUCACAUGGUGGAUUUGUGGUUUUAGGUUGAGUUUCUCCCUUUGAUAACAAAAGACCUUAAGGCUUUUGACCAAUCAAUUCACCAACUUCUUUUGAGAAUUUCACCCUGAACUACGAGGUUUUGAUCCUACCUUUUUAAGAUGGUACGUAGGCAAUGGGUUCAUCCUUUCAAACACAAAAUUGUAAAUAACUUAUAUAUUCUCUUCUCAUCUCCCCAAUCAUGUUUGCACAAAUAUUUUUCCCAAAUACCAACCUACCUUACAACAUUAGUGAAAAGGGCUCCCUUAGAGUACUAAGGAUGUUUUGGAUGCUUAAAACCUUCACAUUGCAUAACCAACCCCCUUACCCAGAUCUCUGACAUUUUUAUUAGUUUUUGAUUCGAUAAAACUUCUCGGUUUUUGUUCGCUUUCUAACCUUUCCUUUGGAUAAAUAGAAGUGCGGUGGCGACUUGAAUUGUAUGAUUUACUUUUGAUUUAGUCAAUAAAUCUAAAGGUAACGAAUACCCCGCUACAAAAAAGUGGCGACUCUGCUGGGGAUGAUUUGCCUAGUGGGUUUUGCCUACUUUUCACUUUUGUUGUAUUGUAUUAUUUAUAUUAUUUGUGACAUAUUUUUGUGCAAAUUUGGGAUUAUUGUAUUGAUUGUAAUGUACGAAUUGCUUGAUAUAUCAAUUGCUUGUGUGCUUGGUGGUCUCUUGUGAGACGAGUUCUAUACCCGAACUCGAGUGCACUUAUGAUAGGAGAAUGGCAUAGUCUUGUUGACUUGUGUGGAGUUAUUCCUUAACAAGUUGACUUGCAAGCCCAUUCACUUGGUGGAGGUUAUGUUGGGAUCAAUAAUGUCACACAAGUAGUCGUGGUUAGGCAUUACUCUUUCCAAUAUAUGCCUUAGAAGCCAAGGACCUUAGAUUACCCCCAUCUUGGCCUUUUUAGGACGUAGGAAGGGUUCAAGUGUAAGUUUGAUACGAUUGUACGCAUAACUACAUCCAUAGAGUCUCUCUAUAUUUUUGGAAUACGAGUAGUCAUUUAUCCGAUAAUAUCUGAAAGAUGGGAUGAUGACUAUGGGAACCUCUUGUAGAACAUGAUUGUCAGGUUUAACCAUAGUACACUCCCUUUGGAUGGUUCUUAACCGAGACUCCAUGCUCGUGACUUACAACAAACCCUUGAUUCAUGGUUGAUCCGUUCUUGUGUAUCCUUAAUAUCAAUGGAACUUGGGUGUUGAUAAGGUGAAAACCAUAAUCCACCAAAAUGGACUAGUGAUAUUAAGGAUGACUUGAUCCAUCCCAUGACCUUUGUAUGGUGUGAUUUGCUUGAUCCUUGAGUGUGAUUGUUGCAUCCAUGCAUUCAUGCAUUCAUACACAUCCAUAUCAUCAACAAUGAUAAAAUUUUCAAGGAACCUAAGAGGUUUAUUUGCAAAUUUUCAGACAUGAAUAAGCAAAGAAGGAAUACAAAGAAGUACAGUUUCAGACAACCCGACUUGAAAGAGUUAAGGAGUUUGACAUCCUAUGUAUUAGAUCCCUUGGAGUUCAAGGCUCGUCGUGAGAAGCUUCUGUCUAUUCUUGCAACUCAGGUGGAUGAAGGUCUGAUGAGUGUGUUGGUACAGUUCUAUGAUCCCUUGUACCGUUGCUUCACAUUCCCGGAUUUCCAGCUUUUGCCCACGCUUGAGGAGUAUGCCUAUCUUGUGGGUAUAUCCCGUUCCGACUCUGUUGAGUGACACUUAUUUCUCUUUGCAUAUGAGGAAUGCAAAGGGUGGUGGUACCAUUGUGUGUUGUUUUCCUCUGUUGUACAAGUGGUUUAUUUCUCACUUGCCUCAAACGCUCGCCUUCAAGGAGAAAAAAAGAUGUCUACGGUGGUCCACGAGACUUAUGUCUCUCACUAACGAUGAUAUCUUUUGGUAUAACCGUGUAUACGAUGGUGUGCAAAUUAUCGACUCUUGUGGUGAAUUCUCCAAUGUGCCUCUUCUUGGUACAUGUGGUGGGAUUAACUACAACCCUAUUUUAGCACGUCGUCAGCUUGGGUUCCCAUUAAAGGAUAAACCCAAUAACAUUUUGUUAGAAGGUAUGUUCUUUCAAGAGGGUAAAGAUCCCCAAAACAUGAAGGGCAGGAUGGUCCGCGCUUGGCGCAAGAUUCAUAGAAAGGGAAGGAAAGAGCUUGGUCUGAAGAAUUGUAUUACUUUGGAACCCUAUACCUCGUGGGUGAGGAGGAGAGCUUCUGAGUACCUUAUGCCUUAUGACUACCCGAGACCUACACCUAUGGUUGUGGCUGAGCCUUCAACCCUCCCUAACCAAGGAGUAGAGGAGUUGAGAGAUGAAGACCGUUCACGUGCUUGGAUCCGUGAGCGAGAGGAGCUACUUCAGCAGCUUAGAGAUAAGGAUGCUUUGAUAGAGUUUCUGGAGCAUCAGGUUAUCGACGAGCCUGAUGAUGUAGUCACUUCUCUUCUUCCUCAGUCUUCCAGGUUUUGGAAGAGGAAGUACGAUCGACUCGCCAAGGAGAAGGCAAAUAUGGAGGCAACCUAUGAGAGAGAGGUGAAGAGGCUUCGUGGAACUUAUCUUCCAGUCUCGAGAGAUUUGGACGAUUGGUUCUAGGGUUCCAUAGGAUGUUCAUUUUCCUUCUCCCUUGUAUUGUAUUUGGUUACCAAGAUUGUACUUCUUUGGUGUAAAAAUAUUUUCCAGAUGUUAUUGAUAUGAUUAUUCCACAUAUGUCUAAAUGAUUAAUAUUUCCAACAUUUGCAAAUAGGACUCUAAAAGUUCCUCUGAUAAAAAAUAAAUCAUAUGCACAAGCAUUGCAUGCAUCAUGUGCAUAAGCAGGUUUUGUUCCAGGGCUUCUUGUUCAGUGGUCUAACUCUGUGUUUUUCAUUUAUUUUAAAGACAAGCUGACGCACCGGUACUAUACCAGAGCCAACUCAUCAAAGCUAGUGGAUCACCUCGAGCAAGAGAACCGAGAAUUGAAGGAGGAAGUGGAAAGAUUGACUGCCCUGAUGGAGUUUUUUUUGGCCGCCCAAAGUCAGUCUUCUCCAACGCCUUCAACUCCUCCCCAGAGGACACGUCAUUUCUGAGAUUCCUUCCUCAACAGUACCUGCUUCCAGUGCCCACUUCGUGCCUACUGUUAUGCCAGCCGGGUUUCCCUGAGGGAUGCCCGCGAACUUUGUUCCAGAGGGUCUCGCCCCAACUUUUGCUUCUUUGUCGGUAUCUAGCCCGGUCCUUGCUGUGCCGCCUCCAGUCGUGCAUACUUUGCCGAUAGUAGAUGACAUCAUUUACCACUCUGAGCCAUCUGAGGGCCCAGACGUGUAUGAAAAGAUGGAUGCCAUGAACGAUCAAUUCCUUGAGCUGCGCAAGGAACUCAAAACUCUCAGAGGGAAGGACCUCUUUGGCAAAUCUGCUGCUGAGCUUUGCCUUGUUCCUAAUGUCAAGAUUCCUGUCAAGUUCAAAGUGCCUAACUUUGAAAAGUACAAAGGAAACACUUGCCCACUCAGCCAUUUGGUUAUGUAUGCACGAAAAAUGUCGACUCAGAACGACAAUGAUCAACUCUUGAUCCAUUACUUCCAGGAUAACCUGUCCGGUGCCGCCUUGAGAUGGUACAUGGGUUUGGACAGCUCGAACAUCCGCUCCUUCAAUGACCUUGGCGAAUCCUUCGUCAAGCAAUACAAAUACAACGUUGAUAUGGCUCCCGAUAGGGACCAGCUGAGGGCCAUGUCCCAGAAGGAUAAAAAAACUUUUAAGGAGUACGGCCAGAGGUGGCGAGAAUUGGCUGCACAGAUUGUGCCUCCGCUAGAAGAGAAAGAGAUUACCAAGAUCUUUCUAAAACCUUGAGUUCAUUCUACUAUGAGCGGAUGAUUGCUAGCGCUCCUUCUGACUUCACCGAGAUGGUAAACACGGGGAUGCGUUUAGAAGAAGGAGUCAGGGAAGGGAGCCUGACCAAAGAAGAAGGCUCUUCUGCCAAACAAUAUGGGGCGUUUGCGAAGAAGAAAGAUGGCGAGGCACAUGCUGUGACCUCCCAUAUUAAAUCUAGAAGACCCUCUGUGAAGAGGAAGACUGUGCAUUCCGCCAGUAAUCAGCACCAGAUGGAUCAUAUAGCACCUGCAUUCAGAGAAAACCAACAUUAUCAACAUUAGAACCAGCAACAACAACAUCAACAGUAUCAACAACAACAACACUGUCCUCAACAGCAGGCCUACCAGCCUCAAAACAACAAUCAAACCAGCACUAGCUAUGAUAGGAAGAGGGUCAGUUUUGAUCCUAUUCCCAUGACCUACGCAGAGCUAUAUCCUUCUUUAAUUGAAAGGAAGUUGAUCACUCCACGUGACCCACCUGCUAUACCUACCAACCCUCAGUGGUGGUAUAAGCCUGAGCUUCAUUGUGUUUAUCAUUCCGGUUCUCCCAGACAUGAUGUGGAGAACUGUUACCCUCUCAAUACCAAGGUUCAAGACCUUGUUAGAAGUGGUAUUCUGUUUUUCGAGGACAUAGGUCCUAAUGUGAAGAAGAACCCAUUGCCCGAGCAUGGGAAAUCUGCUGUUAACAUGGUUCAGGGUUGCCCUGGCAAAUAUAAGGUCCGAUAUGUCAACCAUAUCCGACAAUCUUUGGUCGAGAUGCACAGACAGUUGUGUGGAUACAGUCAUUACGAGCAUGACCAUGACAGUUGCCGUGUUUGUACUGUCAAUGAGAGGGGAUGUCGACAAGUUAGAAAAGACAUCCAAGAAAUGCUGGAUCAGGGUGUAAUUGAGAUACUUCAGAAUCGUGAUGAGGAUGAUGAAGUUAAUGUGAUAUCACCUGUAUUUAGGAUACCUGAGCCUGUUGUCGUCAGAUAUGAUGGCAGCAAGCAGAAGGCUUCUCCUACUCUCAUAAUUAAGCUAGUUGGCCCUAUGCCUUAUUCUUCUGACAAGGCCGUUCCCUAUCGAUAUAAUGUAGUGGCAUUAGAAGAUGGGAAGAAGGUGCCUCUAUCCUCCACUUCUGUUGUUAAUAUUGCUGACGUCAGCGGUUUGACCCGUAGUGGUCGUGGUUUUUCGGCGCCGCCAAAACCCCAAGCUGACACCAGAAGAGUUGAUACUGUUGAUAAUGUCGUUCGUCCUUUGGGGAAUUCUUCUGUUUCUCCGAAUCCGGCACUUGCUGUUAAUAGACCUGCCGCCGCUACUAAAACUCCUGCGCCUACUGGCCAGAAUGGCAUGAUGAAAGAGGACUGUGAUGAGAUGUUGAGGCUCAUUAAGAGGAGUGAAUACAAUGUUGUAAAUCAGCUUCUACAAACGCCUUCAAAGACAUAUGUGUUGUCUUUAUUGAUGAAUUCUGAGCCACACCGUGAAGCUUUGCAGAAGGUGUUGGACGUGGUGUAUGUAGAUCAUGACGUCACAAUAGAACAAUUUGAUAACAUUGUUGCAAACAUUACUACUUGUAACAAUAUGAGUUUCUGUGAUGCUGAUCUCCCCGAGGAGGGAAGGAACCACAAUUUGGCUCUACACAUUUCCAUGAAUUGCAAGGAUGAUUCCUUGUCUAAUGUGCUGGUAGACACAGGAUCAUCGCUAAAUGUGUUGCCAAAAUCCACUCUGGCGAAACUUUCUUAUCAGGGGCCUCCCAUGAGGCAGAGUGGAGUCGUUGUUAAGGCUUUUGAUGGAUCCAGGAAAACUGUGAUUGGAGAGGUUGAGCUCCCAAUCAAGAUUGGACCUAGUGAUUUCCAUAUCACUUUCCAGGUCAUGGAUAUCCACCCAUCAUAUAGCUGCUUGCUUGGCAGACCAUGGAUUCAGGAGGCAGGCACCGUGACAUCCACCCUACACCAAAAGUUGAAAUUCGUCAAGAAUAAGAAGUUGGUGGUGAUAGGGGAAGAGAAGGAUCUCUUGGUAAGCCAUUUGUCUUCCUUUUCCUAUAUAGAUGCUGAGGAUGAGGUUGGGACGCCGUUCCAAGCCUUAUCUAUUGAUGAGCCUUUAAGGAAAGGAACUUCUUCAUUUGCGUCCUACAAUGAUGCGAAGUUGGCCAUUGAGCAUGGUGCAACUACUGGUUUAAGACAAAUGAUUAAGCUGGAAGACAAUAAAUCCCGGGCUGGCAUAGGGUACUCUUCAGGCACAUUUAAUGAGCACGGUUUAUUCCAGAGUGGAGGUUUCAUCCACACGAUCGAAGACCAAGAGGCUGCUGCUAUAGUGGAAGAUGAUGCAGAGGAAGAUUCUGGCAACUUUGUCAUCCCUGGAGGAGUCUGCAAUAAUUGGGUCGUUGUUGAUGUUCCAACAGUUGUCCAUAAGUCUACGUAAUAUGUUCACCUUUGUUUAAAAACCCUUCUCCCAUGCCAAAAGGAGAAGUGAUGACACUGUUGGCACAUUAAUACAAUGAUAUUCAUUCAAUAAUUACAUGUUAAAUGUUUGUUUUUCCAAAUCAUUUUCCCUUUUUGCUUUUUUCAUGAAAUUGGUGAUCACUAAAAAACCCUAAAAAGAGAAUCUUUUCAUCUGCAUAAUGAUUUGCCUUGUUUGAAAUCUGAAAUCUCUUUUAUAUCCAAAAUCAUUAUGCAGGUUGAUCAAAACCCAUUGAACAUAAUGAUCCAACACCAUCUCCCAACUUUGAGUUCCCUGUAUUUGAGGUAGAAGAAAAUGAUGUUGAAAAGAUUCCUGAUGAGAUUACCCGUCUGCUAGAGCACGAAGAGAAGGUCAUUCAGCCGCAUCUUGAGAAUCUGGAAACAGUCAACUUGGGGUCUGAAGAUUGUGUUCACGAAGUGAAGAUUGGGGCACUCCUUAAAGCAUCUGUGAAGAAGGGGUUGAUUGAGUUGCUACGAGAAUAUGUCGACGUCUUUGCCUGGUCGUAUGAAGACAUGCCUGGUCUAGAUACAAAUAUCAUGCAACAUUUCCUGCCUUUGAAGCCUGAGUGUGUGCCUGUGAAGCAGAAGCUCAGAAGAACUCAUCCUGAUAUGGCAGUGAAGGUUAAAUAAGAAGUUCAGAAGUAAAUUGAUGCGAGGUUUCUGGUGACUUCUACAUAUCCUCAAUGGGUGGCCAAUAUUGUGCUCGUGCCUAAGAAAGAAGGAAAAGUCCGAAUGUAUGUGGACUAUAGAGACUUGAAUAAAGCUAGUCCGAAAGAUGAUUUUCCUCUACCACACAUUGAUAUGUUGGUAGACAAUACAACUAAAUUCAAUGUUUUCUCAUUCAUGGACGGAUUUUCCGGUUAUAACCAGAUUUAAAAUGGCACCCGAGGAUAUGGAGAAGACAACAUUCAUCACACCUUGGGGAACAUUCUGUUAUCGAGUGAUGCCCUUCGGUUUGAAGAACACCGGAGCCACGUAUUAACGAGCUAUGACUACCUUGUUUCCUGAUAUGAUGCACAAGGAGAUCGAGGUAUAUGUUGAUGACAUGAUUGCAAAGUCGAGAAUGGAAGUUGAACAUGUAGAGCACUUGUUAAAGCUUUUUUAGUGUUUGAGGAAGUAUAAGCUUCGUUUGAAUCCUAACAAGUGUAUAUUCGGAGUCCGUUCCGGCAAGUUAUUGGGAUUUAUUGUCAGCGAGAGAGGUAUUGAAGUUGAUCCUGCCAAGGUCAAAGCAAUACAAGAGAUGUCUGCGCCCAAAACUGAGAAGCAAGUCCGAGGUUUUCUUGGCCGCUUGAAUUAUAUUUCCAGAUUUAUAUCUCACAUGACUGCUACAUGUGCGCCUAUAUUCAAGCUCCUCCGGAAAGAUCAGCGUCAUGAUUGGACCGAGGAUUGCCAAAAGGCCUUUGACAGUAUUAAAGAGUAUCUGUCUGAGCCUCCGAUUCUGUCUCCGCCUAUGGAAGGGAGACCCUUGAUUAUGUAUCUGACAGUUCUUGAAGACUCCAUGGGUUGUGUCCUUGGUCAGCAAGAUGAAUCAGGGAAAAAAGAAUAUGCCAUCUACUAUCUGAGUAAGAAGUUCACUGAUUGUGAGUCUCGAUACUCGAUGCUUGAGAAAACAUGUUGUGCUUUGGCUUGGGCUGCUAAGCGCUUACGCCAGUAUAUGUUAAAUCAUACGACUUGGUUGAUAUCCAAUUUGGCUUGGGCUGCUAAGCGCUUACGCCAGUAUAUGUUAAAUCAUACGACUUGGUUGAUAUCCAAAAUGGAUCCAAUUAAGUAUAUCUUUGAGAAGCCUGCUUUAACUGGGAGGAUUGCCCGUUGGUAGAUGCUGUUGUCUGAGUAUGAUAUUGAGUAUCAAGCUCAGAAGGCUAUUAAAGGAAGUAUCUUGGCUGACCACUUGGCACAUCAACCAAUUGAGGAUUAUCAGUCAUUUCAGUACGACUUCCCUGAUGAGGAGAUUCUGUAUUUGAAAAUGAAAGAUUGCGAUGAGCCUACGCUCGAUGAAGGGCCAGAGCCUGAAUCCCGAUGGAGCAUGGUGUUUGAUGAUGCUGUAAAUCAAUAUGGAAAUGGUAUUGGGGUAGUGAUUAUUACUCCUCAAGACACACAUUUUCCUUUUAUAACAAGGCUAACUUUCAAAUGCACGAAUAAUAUGGCGGAAUAUGAGGCAUGUAUUAUGGGUUUAGAAGAAUGUAUUGAUCUUAGGAUCAAGUAUCUUGAUGUUUAUGGUGAUUCGGCCCUUGUUGUUAAUCAGAUUAAGGGUGAAUGGGAGGCGAAUCAGCCUGGCCUCAUCCCAUAUAGAGAUUAUGCGAGGAGGAUUUCAAUGUUCUUUAUUGAGGUUGACUUCCAUCAUAUUCCUCGAGAUGAGAAUCAGAUGGCAGAUGCUCUUGCUACACUUGCUUCGAUGAUUGUGGUGAAAUUCUGGAAUGAAGUCCCCAAUAUUACUAUAAUGCGCUUGGAUAGACCAGCUCAUGUAUUUGCAGUAGAAGAAGUGAAAGAUGAUAAGCCAUGGUAUAUUGAUAUCAAGUGCUUUCUCUAGAGUCAGAUUUACCCGCCUGGGGCAUCUGUUAAAGAUAAGAAGACUUUGAGGAGAUUGUCUGACAGUUUCUACCUCAAUGGCGAUGUGCUUUAUAAGAGGAAUUUUGACAUGGUCCUGCUUAGAUGCGUGAAUAUACACGAAGCAGACCGGUUGAUGACUGAAGUCCAUGAGGGUUCAUUUGGUACUCAUUCCAAUGGACAUGUCAUGGCAAAGAAGAUGUUGAGAGCAGGCUACUAUUGGCUGACAAUGGAGUCUGACUGCUGCAAGUAUGUGAAGAAAUGCCAUAAGUGUCAGAUUUAUGCGGAUAAGAUUCAUAUUCCCUUGACACUUCUGAAUGUUAUUUCCUCACCAUGGCCUUUCUCUUUGUGGGGAAUUGACAUGAUUUGCAUGAUAGAGCCGAAAGCAUCCAACGCUCACAGGUUUAUUCUCGUAGCAAUUGAUUACUUCACCAAAUGGGUUGAAGCGGCGUCAUAUGCGAACGUGACCAGGCAAGUGGUUCUGAAGUUCAUCAAGAAUCAACUCAUAUGCCGUUAUGGUGUGCCAGACAAGAUCAUUACUGAUAAUGGGUCUAACUUGAACAACAAGAUGAUGAAAGAGAUGUGUAGCGAGUUCAAGAUUGCACAUCAUAAUUCUUCUCCUUAUAGACCCAAGAUGAAUGGGGUUGUUGAAGCAUCUAAUAAGAAUAUCAAGAAGAUUAUCCAGAAGAUGGUUGUUACGUACAAAGAUUGGCAUGAGAUGCUGCCAUUUGCUUUGCAUGGUUAUCGUACAUUUGUCCGCACUUCAACAGGGGCAACCCCUUUCUCCCUUGUAUAUGGCAUGGAGGCUGUGCUUCCCGUGGAGGUUGAGAUCCCAUCAAUGAGAGUCUUGAUGGAAGCCAAGUUGACUGAGGCUGAAUGGGUUCAGAGUCGUUAUGACCAACUGAAUUUGAUAGAAGAGAAGAGAUUGACUGUCAUGUGCCAUGGUCAGUUAUAUCAGCAAAGGAUGAAGAAAGCCUUUGAUAAGAAGGUCAAGCCUCGUGUGUUCCGAGAAGGUGAAAUUGUGCUCAAGAAAGUCUUGUCUUUCGCGCCGAUUCCAGGGGCAAGUGGACUCCAAACGAUGAAGGUCCAUAUGUUGUUAAGAGAGCCUUUUCAGGCGGUGCUUUGAUACUUACAACUAUGGAUGGGGAGGAUUUCAUCCGUCCUGUAAACUCAGAUGCAGUCAAGAAAUACUUCAUCUAAAAUAAAACAGAAUAGCUCGCUAGUUGAAAACCCGAAAGGGCGGCUUAGGCAAAAAAAGCGUCUCGUGGAUAAAAACUCGAAGGGCGAUCCAGGCAAAAGUUAGAGACAUAUAAAAAUAUAUAUAUAAUAUAUAUAUAUAUAUAUAUAUAUAUAUAUAUAUAUAUAUUAUAUAUAUAUAUAUAUAUAUAUAUAUAUAUAUUAUAUAUAAUAUAUAUAUAUAUAUAUAUAUAUAUAUAUAAUAUAUUAUAGUAUAUGAUAUAUAAUAAUAUAUAUAUCCCGCUAGAUUGAGUACCUCACCCUGGGGCAAUCUAGGCAAAAAUCAGGGAUUUGGCAAGUAAUUGCAUCCUGACAAGACUUUGUUCUACAGCCGUCAUCUGUCAGAGAUUUUCGCUCAGUCAUCGUCAACUGAAGCUUCAAAUACAUUGGAUUCAGAGUUGGUGGAGAAAUGGUCAUUAUGUUCAAUGUAGCCCUUUUCUAAUAUAUAUCACCAAUUUCAAAUUUGUAAAGAUCCAUGGAGUCUUGCCAUUUGCAGACUCCCAUUCCAUCAAAUAAAUUUGAGCCUUUACCCAAUUCUUUGCACUCUUAUUGGUUUCUGUUUAACAAAUGUUUACAUGUUUUAAUUGAUAAAUAUCAUUGUUUUAAAUAAAUAAAGUUUUUAUAAACUGUUUUUAAACAAAGUGAACAUUCAGAACAACCGAAAGGAUAAUUGAGACAUCUUCAGUGCUCUCCCAAGAACAGUAUGAUCUCCAAAAGGGUAAGACAUUUGUUCAUUAUUCCUAGCAUACUUGUAUCCUCUUCAUUAUCUUUCAGGUUGUCUCCUCCGCGAACGCAGAAGAGUGUUAAGCAUCACCAAUUUCCGUAGAGAGUCUGGAGCUUUGGUCCUGGUUUGUUUAGGGAAGUAUAUCUCUAACCCCCUCAACUCCCCAGAGAGUCUGGAGUUUGGGUUUCAGUCUUCUAGCUCCCCAGUGAGUCUGGAUCUAGCAUUUGUGCUAUCAAUUGUAUGGUUGUCAUCCCUGUCACAACGCGAAAAACAACCGACGGAAAAAAUUACAGAUUAUAGAGCCGCCACCGACGCUAUUCAUCCUAUGACGGAAAGGGAGCGCAGGACUAACCUAAGAAAGGGAAAGGAAUGGUCUUACGACCAGAGAUUACAAGGUACAUGAGUCGGUUACGCAAGGGGAAGGUAUUAGCACCCCUCACGUCCGUCGUACUCGACGGGAUCCAUGCUCAAAAGAUAGCUCAAAGAGUAAGAAAAGGUUGCUAAUAAAACUGCUCAAAGAAAAUGCACAAACUGGAAUAAUAAACAGGUGGGAGGAAAAAACGGAGGAAGUGGACUCGGCAGGAUGUCGCAUCUUGGGCCUACGUAGUUUGUCAGAAACAAACAUCAGAGUCAACGUAGUUCGGGGAAAGGGAGACAUGCUCACUAAGACAUCGCGUCCUAUGCCUACGUAUCUUCUCUAUCCAGAGGAGAAUCAGAGCACUCGUAGCUCGGCUAAUGCACGCCAAAACAAGACACUAAAAAGGAGACGUUGAGACGUCAAAAGAAACACCCAAAAGGAAACAGAUUGCCAAUACAUGGACUUACACCCGACUCCUGACAAUAACCAAACAAAAGAAAACAGAAUGCCAAUACAUGGACUUACAUCCGACUCCCAACAACAACAAACAAAGAGGAAACAAAAUGCCAAUACAUGGACUUAUAUCCGACUCCUAACAAUAACAAAUAAACAGGAAACAGAAUGCCAAUACAUGGACUUAUAUCCGACUCCUAACAAUAACAAACGCUAACCAGCGAACACCAAAGAAAAAGGUUAUCAGAAUGAACCCCAACAAAGUAACCAAAUAUCCAAAGAUGAACCCCAAAGAUGAACCCCAAGUGAAUAAUCACCACAAACGUCGCAAACGAACCCCAAGUGAGUGACAACCGUCACAAAUGAACCCCAAAGAUGAUAACCAUCAUCACAAACGUCGCAAAUGAACCCCAAGUGAGUGACAACCGUCACAAAUGAACCCCAAAGAUGAACCCCAAAUGAUACCGGUAAACCCCAAUAUGAACCCCAAGUGAUACAGGUAAACCCCAAUAUGAAUGACAACAGUCAUAAAUGAACCCCAGAGAUGAACCCCAAAUAAAUCUCAAAGAUGAACCCCCAUAAGGUAUAAACAUACCACACACGCCCACGCUGGGCAAACAAGUACUCACACCAAAACAAAGAAGAGGGUGAACACACGCAAACAACACAACAUAAAAGAAAAAGGGUGACGACACACAUAAAAAAACAAAAGGGUUCCCGGAGAGAUUGCUCACAACCUCCUGCUUACGUAUCUCAUCUGGUAUGAGAAUCAGGGCGACGUAGUUCCCCUUAACAGGGGAAAGGAGACAACAAACUAAUAGGGAGACUAAGACUCGAGCCUAAUAGUUGUCAUGCCAACAAUAUCCCUAAGUCGGGAAUAAGGGUGAUGAACACACACAAAAAAACAAAAGGGUGCCCGGAGAGAUUGCUCGCAACCUCCUGCCUACGUAUCUCAUCUGGUAUGAAAAUCAGGGCGACGUAGUUCCCCUUAACAGGGGAAAGGAGACAACAAACUAAUAGGGAGACUAAGACUCGAGCCUAAUAGUUGUCAUGNNNNNNNNNNNNNNNNNNNNNNNNNNNNNNNNNNNNNNNNNNNNNNNNNNNNNNNNNNNNNNNNNNNNNNNNNNNNNNNNNNNNNNNNNNNNNNNNNNNNNNNNNNNNNNNNNNNNNNNNNNNNNNNNNNNNNNNNNNNNNNNNNNNNNNNNNNNNNNNNNNNNNNNNNNNNNNNNNNNNNNNNNNNNNNNNNNNNNNNNNNNNNNNNNNNNNNNNNNNNNNNNNNNNNNNNNNNNNNNNNNNNNNNNNNNNNNNNNNNNNNNNNNNNNNNNNNNNNNNNNNNNNNNNNNNNNNNNNNNNNNNNNNNNNNNNNNNNNNNNNNNNNNNNNNNNNNNNNNNNNNNNNNNNNNNNNNNNNNNNNNNNNNNNNNNNNNNNNNNNNNNNNNNNNNNNNNNNNNNNNNNNNNNNNNNNNNNNNNNNNNNNNNNNNNNNNNNNNNNNNNNNNNNNNNNNNNNNNNNNNNNNNNNNNNNNNNNNNNNNNNNNNNNNNNNNNNNNNNNNNNNNNNNNNNNNNNNNNNNNNNNNNNNNNNNNNNNNNNNNNNNNNNNNNNNNNNNNNNNNNNNNNNNNNNNNNNNNNNNNNNNNNNNNNNNNNNNNNNNNNNNNNNNNNNNNNNNNNNNNNNNNNNNNNNNNNNNNNNNNNNNNNNNNNNNNNNNNNNNNNNNNNNNNNNNNNNNNNNNNNNNNNNNNNNNNNNNNNNNNNNNNNNNNNNNNNNNNNNNNNNNNNNNNNNNNNNNNNNNNNNNNNNNNNNNNNNNNNNNNNNNNNNNNNNNNNNNNNNNNNNNNNNNNNNNNNNNNNNNNNNNNNNNNNNNNNNNNNNNNNNNNNNNNNNNNNNNNNNNNNUAUCAUGAAUGAUCAACAUGCAAAAUAUCAAAUCCAGAAAGAUUCAAAUGCUAUGUGAACAAAAAUGUGACAAUCCAAUGCCAAAAAUGUGACACAAAUUGUCACAUUUUUCUUCAUGUGUCAAAAGUGAUGAUAGCAUAUGAGAAAAAUUCCAAACCAAUGCUCAAAAAUUCACAUCAUGUAUGAUCAUUAAGCAUGCAAAAAAUCAGAUCAAUUGGAUCAAAGAUGAAGAUUUCACAAAGCAAUGAAUGCAACAUAUCAAAAUAGCAUGGCAUGGAUCAAAAAAUUCACAAAUAAAAAUCCAGCAAACAAAAAUUCAUGAAAAUAAUAUCAAAAAAAAAAACUAGACAUCAAAACAGAACUAUGAAAAAAAAUUGGAGUUAAUUUGGAUCAUUUUUCAAUUUUUAAUGAUUUUUCAAAGUAACUACAAUAAUAUGAAAUCACAUGGAAAUAUGGAGGGAAAAGAGAUAUUUCAAAUAAUACUCAGAAUAUUCACAUCCACACGAUCAGGCGUGAGAAUCACAUCAACGGUCCAGGUUUGAACAUCAAAACAUACAGUUUCACUUAAUACAAUCAGCAUGCAUGGUCAACAGUCAAACGCACACGCAGCAAGGUCAAAGCAACAAGAGCCAAUCAUACAGACACACAAGCGUACACACUCAGCAGACAGCAUGGCACAAUGAAGUGACGCGUUUCAUUAAAUGAUUUGGCAUGCACACUCAGUCAGUCAACAUACACAUAACACGGUCAAACGAAUCAUGGCCAAUGGAAUAAACACGCAAGGCACACAGUCAGCAGACAACAAGGCAAACCCUAGCAAGUUGCAGAGACGCCAGAGCUAAGCUCCGGUCAUCUUCUCCGGCCAUCCACACGGCGGAGCUCAACCAAAAUUUUCCAGAAUUUAACAAAUUUUAUACCGUUCAAACCGCCAUGCAACACACAUUCCAAAUAUCAUAUUCAUACAUCCUAAUUCUUCCUAGAUUGCACGGAUCGAACGAAAACAUUUUCAUGAGCAAAAAUUCCAGUUCACAUAACAUGCACAAUACUCAACCAAAUCAAGAUCUAAACACAUGUACAAGGUUUGCUAAGUGAGAUCUACAAAUCUAUGGCCUUAAAACAGCGAAAUAAGAGAUCGAAUUUUGACUCACAUGGAAAUUGAAGCUUCUGAAUUCGUGAUCUCAAGUGCUCUAGAGCUCCAGAUUUACUCUACUUUACUCCUCUUGAAGCUUUGUGCAAAAAGAAUUGGAUGAAAACACCUGGAUCUGCUUCAAUUUCAAGCUUCCAUUUCCAUGAGAUUGCACUUGCACUGUACGAAUUCUUGCUCAAUUGCAACAAACAAUGGUUGGAUCUUGCUCAGAAUUGCAUGAGGAUUAAGAAUAUGCAAAGAGGUUUGGUGUUUGUGUGAAGAAAUGAAGAAUUCGAAGUGAGAGAAAAAAUGGAGGGAACUUUGAAAUUCUAGAUCUGAAAUUCUGUUAUGGUGGUUAUGGAUUAGGGUUUGGCUUUUAUAUGGCAUGCUAAUCACACUGAAAAUCCAAUUAGGCCUUGGUUAAUCAUGAUUAGUGAAUUAUAAGGCAAAGUGAAAAAAAUGCAAAUGAAACUAGCAUGGCCAUGUCCCACGUGCUCUUCCUCAUGCAAGGCUUGGUAUUCACUCAAAAUCAUCCAAGGAUCAACAUGGAAUUGUUAAUUUGCUUGUAUCAUAAGCCAAUUGGUAUUCACUCAAAAUCAUCCAAGGAUCAACAUGGAAUUGUUAAUUUGCUUGUAUCAUAAGCCAAAUUUAAAUUGUGGAAAUUCCCUCCAAAAUGAUCACAUGAGAAAUGAUGGUCAUACAAGCCCCUCCCAUGCAUGGCAAAGAUUGUUUUUAGAGGUCUUGAUCAUUAGAAGCAUUUUGCAAAAAGAAUGGACCAAAUUGGAGCAUUGCAUCAAAAGUUAUGACACUUUGAAUUUCCAUGCACACCUUGUGAUCAAAUGACUAUAACUCCUUAACCAGUCAUCAUAUGGACAUGAAUUAGGGCUUUUUGGAAAGGGGAGACAAAGAUCUACAACUUUUAUGUUCACCAAAUAUCCAUUUGAAACAUCUUUGAUAUUGAAAAGUCAAGUUGAAAGUGGACUAAAAUCUUGCCAAAUUUGGAAACUUUGAAUUAUAGGUCACUUUCCAUUUUUGGUAACUUUUGCCAUGACCUUUGAAUCUUCAAGAUGGAUGUUUAGAAUGAUGAAUGGACCUCUUUUGAACAUGAUUGAGGUGUCUCAACUCAUUUCCCCACCUCAUAGCCCUAAGUUGACUGCACAGUUGACUUUUUGGUCCUCAGAUGAUCUUGAAAUGCCUUGAUGAACUUGAGCCUUUACCACUUGAUGAAAUGGCUUCAAAAUGGAACCCUAGCUCAUGUAAGCUCCUCCUGAUAACCAUGUGAUCCUCAUCCCAAGAAAAAUACCUCAUCUCUAGGCUUCAAAAUGGAACCCUAGCUCAUGUAAGCUCCUCCUGAUAACCAUGUGAUCCUCAUCCCAAGAAAAAUACCUCAUCUCUUUGAGAAACCCUAGUUGGAAGAAUGGCAUUGAUUAGGGUUGACCAGAGGUCACAACCCUAAUCCAAAGGAACUUGAGAAUGAGCUAUGAAACCCUUGAUGACGAUAGAACCAUGAUGAUGGUAAUAUAACCUUGCAAAUAAGAUGAUGCUCAAGACAUUUGCAGAAUCAAGAAACCCUAAUUGAAGCUCAUGCUCUCAGAUGGUUGAUCAUCAAUUCAUAGAGACCCUCAGGCUUGAAUCAUGUACCUUCUCCAUCUUUUGAAAAGACUUUGGAGGAUGACCUUCUUAUUUCCAUAUGAUAUGCAAAAUGCAAUGCCUAAAGCUCUAAAAUAUGAAAUGCACUGUGUCAAACUAGUCUCAAGAAGAGGAGGGCAAAUUUUGAGGUAUUACAGCUGCCCCUAUUCAAUCCACUGUGAACCUGUCGAUAUGAACAGCCUCGGCUUUCAGAUGAUCAUGGUGAAGAAUGGUUGAAUACAAAGAACAGACGAACAAUUUGCGCUCCGCUGGGAAUUAAGUAACAAUGCCUGUCAGAAUCGGCAAAGAGGUAGUCUUGAAAGAAGAAUCCGUCUGGUACGGUGAGAGUCGGUCUGAAUACCGAAAAAGAAUGUUAAUCUGGAUACCAAAAUAAAUGGUACACAAUAAUAACCAUGGCCUGAAUGCCGCUCAUCAGUCUGAAAACUGGAAAUGACUUCGAUCUGAGCAUCGGAAGAUAUGAGAUUAUUAAUAUCGGUCUGAACACCGAGAGACUGGCCUGAAUGCCACUUCGGUCUGAAUACCGGAAAAUUGGCCUGAAUGCCACAAGUUGCAUCGACCUGAAAAUCGGUCUGAACACCGAGAGACUGGCCUGAAUGCCACUUCGGUCUGAAUACCGGAAAAUUGGCCUGAAUGCCACAAGUUGCAUCGACCUGAAUGUCGGAAACUUCUUCGAUCUGAACAUCGGAAAAUCUAGCCUGAACGCCACUUUUGCUGGGGAUUUUCUCUUUGUUAUUACUAUUAUUACUUUUCUUUUGCUUUUUUUUUUUGCUUUUCUUGAACCCCCAAAACUUCUUUGAUUUUUCUUUCUUGGACCCCUACACAAAUAUUUUCUUUCGCGCGGAUGAUCCCUGAUCACCGUAUUUGAACCCCGACAACUUCAUGUCACUCUUGCUGCCAAACACUGAACCCCGUUCUCCAUUUGAACCCUAAUUGCCUGAGGAUAACUCUCGAUCGUCAUUGUGAACCCCAUUCUCCAGAAAACACCCUGUGUCUCCUUUUCUCCAGUUGAACCCCGUUCUCCAUGCUCCCGUGCUAAUUCUGUUGGCAACGUCGGAAAUAACACCAACCACCACUCUGACGGCGACAUAUCAGAGGGUAUACCUUCACAACAGGAAGGUAACAUGUGCAUUUCUUCCCUUGAAGACACCCAUAACGACUUCCCUUGGCCUCGCCAAAGUCUAAGGUGACACAUGAUCAGAAGACAAUCCUGAGGACCUCAUCCCGGAUACAAUCUUCAACUCCAAUCUCCAGUUGAACCCCGUGUUAGACUAUGGCACGGAUCUAGAAGGGGGGAUUGAAUAGAUCCCAAUUAAAAUUUGAGUCGGCGCUACCGAUUUAAAAUUUGGUUUUGAAGAUUUGUUUUAAAUGCGGAAGCGGCCGAGGAAAAUAUAGUUUAAAACGAACUGUUAUUGGAAAACCGGAUAUGCGUCAAGCCUAUGGAUUAGUGAUAACGUAGAAUACGAAUCACUACACUAGUCACACAAUCAAUGAUUUGUUUCACUUACUAGGAUUCCUAGUUCCAAUGAUUCAAAGAGCAAACCAAACUAGAUACACAACUAAGAUAAUUUUGGUUUAGGCAAAUUAUCAAACACUUGGUGUGCAAAAACACUCCAAGUGAUAUUUAUGUUGAGUAAGAGAUUUCAAUUAGUCUAGUACAAUAUUUUAUUGUACUUUGAAUUCAAAAACAGAGUUUUAACUUCUUACUCAAUUAAUAUCAAGGUUUGAUAAAAGUGCUUAUACAAAAAUCACUUAAUUUUUAAGCUAAAAACAAAUAUGCAGAAAAUUAGAGAAGGCAAAGAUUUGAUGAGGCAGUUCCCCCGUCGUCCUCGCUUCGGGGUACGUCUGCCCUCAAUUCUAAAACUAGAAUUGAGAUUGCUUUAAUAGAUAUCACCUGUUGAGUAUAACAGUUUAUACAAGGAUUGAAAAGCAAAUAUACAACAGAAUUCUCAAGACGUUGAAUGUUGCUUUCACUCCUUGUUCCUUGAUUCAAGGUGAAUCAAGUCCUUNCAACAUCAAAAAGAGAAAAGGAACGAGUAGUCAACGUAACAUGAAAUUUAACAGGAGAUAACAAUAUCAGAUAACAAUAUCACACCAAAUAUCAUUAAUGAACAAAAUAAAAGAAGAUAAUCAUUAAAUUUGAUUUGCACAAACGAGCACAAUAGAAAAAUAGUUCAGUCAAACAAAAAAAAAUACAGAUGCAUAUGUAGUUCUAUGUCCUAAUGGUCUCGUCCUCGAUGGUAACAGAUAUCCGGGUUUCUGUAGGGGUCUGCCAGAGACGAUAUUUGGUCAGCAACACCACCUAGAUACUUGAUACCCACGUCGACCGACCGCUCCUGGCGUUCAAAUGUUUCGGUAAAUGCUGCAUACCGUUCAUUCAUGCUUGUAGAGAGGUUAUCGAGCCUCUCAUUUUGUGCUUGAAGUUGGCUGCUAAUGUGAGCAUAGCGCUCAUCCUGAGUUUGCAUGAAGGAUUGUUGAGCCAACUGCAAAUUUCGCAUCAUAUCCAAAAGUUCAGAAGAGUUUGUGUACUGCGGAGGAGACGGAGGAGAUUCUUCAUCACCUUAUUGAUAGGGCUGAUAGAAUUGGCAUUGUGUUGACCAGCCCGUAUGUUGCCAUUCACCCCAGCCACCCUGGUUGGGGGUAUCGUCUUCAGUUGAAUGUGAAUUCUGAACCCAAACGGAGUUUGUGUGGUCGUGUGUGUCUGUUUGUAGAGGACUGUCAUGCUGAACAAACGCUUGACCUUCUUCUUCUUCUUCGUUUUCCUCUUGAUCUUCUUCUUCACUUUCAUCACUUUCAUCAUCUUCUUCAACAUUCGCAGGAACAAACCCUCUGCGAACAAACUUGUAUAUUCUCCGUUCAUCACACCAAAAAUAUCUCAUCAUAGACAAAGUUUUUGGGCUGAAUUCUUUGUCUGAGGAAAUGGAGGUAUACGGAAAGGACGGAUAAUGAACGUCAGCUGCCGUAAGAACCUCUUGAAUAAAAGAUCCAUAGGCCAGAGUCGUUCCUCGUUCGGAGUCACGUAAACUGAACAUCCCACUAGCAAUGUAGUAGGGCCAGUUUAUUUUCCGCUGAUUCUUUAAGAUGUAUAUGAGAUGAACUUCAGCCUGUUCAACUCGGGAGAGGCCACCCUUCUUAGGUCGCAGGAUGCGUGACACAAUCCACUAGAGAAUGCGCUCACCGGUUUUCAGCUUCCCGGCAGUGACAGUUCGUGGGAACGCGUCACUGUUUACAAUGUGGUCUGGGUAGGGUCGUUUCAGCAUAGCGUUCAGAGUGCUCUUAAACUCAUACCCUUCGAUUGUGUGAGUGUCAGUUACCUCAGCGAGAGGAUUUUCAUCAGCAGCCACGAUCAUGUUAAAAAAUUUAUUCCAAACGGCAGACUUAAAGGAUACCUUUGUUGUGCCGAUCCUGGAGUGAAACUUUUGACCACGAAACUUGUCAUGAAGGCAGGCGUAGAACACACGGACCAGGUCUUCGCUAUAUUUGGCAUUGCAUUCCAGGAAUUUGACAAUGCCGUGAUACUGUAGCAGAGACAUGAUUUCUGCGAGAUGCAUGCGUUCUACGGUGAGUUUGUAGAAUGCAUGCUGCCUCACAACUCCUCUUUUACCAAUAUCUUUGUUGAAGGAAUCGAUGAGAGUCGGUGGAACUAGCGAUACAACGGUAAUGGGUAGAGAGGCAGAGGAUGAUUCCCGUGAUCUCUUACCGAUAGGUCUGCGGGAUGAGGAAGCCAUUGGAAAUGAUUUUGAAGCUUUGUGUGUGGGUAGAGAGUGAAGUUUGGUGAAGGUUUUUGAGAAUGAUUUUGCAAGAAGGAGGUUUCCCUUUUUGUAGAUAAGGAUUUAGGGUUUUGGGAAGAGGAGAGGCCAAGAGACAAUAGACACUAGGUAGAUGCAACUCACAAUGUAGUGGGAAGUUUGAAAUGUAAAUGCACACUUAAUGAGAGUUUAAGAGGAGAGGCCAAGAGACAAUAGACACUAGGUAGAUGCAACUCACAAUGUAGUGGGAAGUUUGAAAUGUAAAUGCACACUUAAUGAGAGUUUGAAUGUAAAUGCAUGGGAAGUUUGAAGGUUUUCUGCAGAGAAAAAUUGAAUUUUCGAGCGAUGCGUCGACCAUACCUCUGCAUGCGUCGACGCAUACUGUUUGAUUUUUGAAAAACAAGAAAAAUGGUAAGAUGUGCGUCGACCAUUGCCCUUUUAUGGUCGACUCAUACAGGUAAUUUUUGCAAUUUUCACUGUUAUGCUCAUAUGCUCACAUGUUUGAUACAUAAUUAGAAUGCCACACAACAUUUAAACAUCCAAACAGUUAAGGCAUAAGAGACGAUACAUAUAUGUACAAUAUUAUCAUGUAGUACAACUAUUUAACUAUGAAGUUUGGGAGAGAGAGAAGAGACAAUAUCACCUCUAUUCCGGAAUGACUUGAUGAACAAUAUGAUUGUGCUUGCAACAACAUUAACUUGUUAUAAGUACAAUAAUAUGGUAUUAAAUGAAAUAAGGUAAAGCAGGCAAUUUAUAAUGCCCGUUCAGAAAUGUCGAGAAUACCAAGUUCUCGGUGAAUAUGAAAGAAAGGCUCAGUAGCUAGCGGCUUUGUGAAAAUGUCCGCUAGUUGAUUUUCAGUAUUUACAUGUUCAAAUACAACAUCACCUUUCUCUACAUGAUCCCGAAGAAAGUGGUGUCGAAUUUCGAUAUGUUUGGUGCGAGAAUGCAACACAGGAUUUUUGGUAAGAUUAAUGGCACUGUAUUAUCACAGAAAAUGGGAAUACGUUCGAGUUUUUGGUUAAAAUCCAAUAGUUGUUGCUUAAUCCAUAGGAUUUGAGCACAACAACUACCGGCGGCAAUGUAUUCCGCUUCGGCGGUUGACAAAGCAACUGAAACUUGUUUCUUGCUAUGCCAACUGACCAAGGAAUUUGAGAAUAAGUGACAAGUGCCACUGGUGCUUUUCCUAUCCGAUUUGCAACCGGCAAAAUCGGAAUCGGAGAAACCUACCAAUGAGCAAUCAUUACCUUUGGAAUACCAUAGUUCAUACUUCGGAGUACCGGAUAGGUAUCGAAGUAUUCGUUUGACAGCUUUUAGAUGGGAUUCCUUGGGACAUGAUUGAUAUCUUGCGCACAUACACACGCUAAACAUAAUGUCGGGACGAGAAGCAGUAAGAUAGAGAAGUGAUCCAAUCAUACCUCUAUACCUUUUUACCUCUACGUCCUUACCGUUUUCAUCUUUAUUCAAGUUUGUACAUGUUGGCAUGGGGGUGUCAAUGNNNNNNNNNNNNNNNNNNNNNNNNNNNNNNNNNNNNNNNNNNNNNNNNNNNNNNNNNNNNNNNNNNNNNNNNNNNNNNNNNNNNNNNNNNNNNNNNNNNNNNNNNNNNNNNNNNNNNNNNNNNNNNNNNNNNNNNNNNNNNNNNNNNNNNNNNNNNNNNNNNNNNNNNNNNNNNNNNNNNNNNNNNNNNNNNNNNNNNNNNNNNNNNNNNNNNNNNNNNNNNNNNNNNNNNNNNNNNNNNNNNNNNNNNNNNNNNNNNNNNNNNNNNNNNNNNNNNNNNNNNNNNNNNNNNNNNNNNNNNNNNNNNNNNNNNNNNNNNNNNNNNNNNNNNNNNNNNNNNNNNNNNNNNNNNNNNNNNNNNNNNNNNNNNNNNNNNNNNNNNNNNNNNNNNNNNNNNNNNNNNNNNNNNNNNNNNNNNNNNNNNNNNNNNNNNNNNNNNNNNNNNNNNNNNNNNNNNNNNNNNNNNNNNNNNNNNNNNNNNNNNNNNNNNNNNNNNNNNNNNNNNNNNNNNNNNNNNNNNNNNNNNNNNNNNNNNNNNNNNNNNNNNNNNNNNNNNNNNNNNNNNNNNNNNNNNNNNNNNNNNNNNNNNNNNNNNNNNNNNNNNNNNNNNNNNNNNNNNNNNNNNNNNNNNNNNNNNNNNNNNNNNNNNNNNNNNNNNNNNNNNNNNNNNNNNNNNNNNNNNNNNNNNNNNNNNNNNNNNNNNNNNNNNNNNNNNNNNNNNNNNNNNNNNNNNNNNNNNNNNNNNNNNNNNNNNNNNNNNNNNNNNNNNNNNNNNNNNNNNNNNNNNNNNNNNNNNNNNNNNNNNNNNNNNNNNNNNNNNNNNNNNUCCAUUUGCGAAAACGAAAGCGAAUUGUAACAGGGAAAUUACUUGCUUCGAAUCGGAGUUGUAACACCCUUUGAGAUAUCUUCGGAAUGUUGUCUCGAUGGAUGGUCUUUGGCGAGACCUCCAAGCUUGGGAGGAGAAUCAUCGUAUUUGAGGCGGAUGAGCAUACCUCGCGGUGUUCCUCAUCGGUGUACUCUUUAUCCUUCCUCAAUCUAUUGGACUUUGUCGCGUUGAUCAUCCCCGGCUCGCACCUUUGAGUAUGGUCUUCUGCUAGAUGACCUGCACCAUGAACAAACAUUACCCUUUCGACGUUCUGCGGAUAGGAUUAAUCAAAAGUUGACAUGUUACAGACUCUAAUCCACAGCCAACUAAUCGUUUAUUAUAUAUUCUAUAUGCUUCUACUCGAUGGAGUAUCAUGAGAAGAUACCUUCGUCGGCCCUUGAAUCGAAUUUUCCCAAGGUUUUCCUUUCCAUUAUUUAAUACAAAACAUUUGCAACGAAAACAUGUAAGUGAGAAACAUUUGGCUUCGCCCUCUUUAAAAAGCUCAUACAUGUUUUAUUUAGAAUGGGCGAAUGAGCACCCUAUUCAAAACAUAACACGCGUUACUAAUGGCCGUUCGGCCCAAAAUUCGGUAAACCACUUUCGUUAAUCUUGUUCUCCCAAUUCUUCCAAAAUCGAUUUUUACGCUCACAACCCCAUUUUGUUUGAGGAGUACGAUGGGAGCGGAAGCUUAUAAUCGAUACCAAUGCGUUACCGCAAUACGUUCUUCAAAUAAAUGGUUUCGGAACUUCACCCCAUGGUCGCCUUCUAUGUGAAACAAAUCGUGUUGUAUUUAAAUUUAUUUUGGCGAAAGCAUUAGGCAAACCUUUCAAAGGCGGCGUACGUAUCGCUCUUGCAUUACUAAAAAGAUAGUCCAACAAAAUCUAGAAAAAAUCACUUUCCACGAUUUUCGAAACCGUAAUAAUUCCUCCUAGACUUUUAAUCCUACGACGGCCCAAAAUAAGCCAUAUGACAGAAGUCGAGAGUCUCGUUUGUUGAAACAGAUAUUAUUGAAUUUAUAAAUGAGCAUCUCGUUUGCUCCCAUUCUUGACAAGCAUCACAAAGGUGAUCCUCUGGUGGAAACUUUUAUUUUGGGGAACCUUAGGACUAGAUCUUUUGAGACUACUUUAUUUAGUAAGUCAAAAUUCACAUGUGCUAAACGCCUAUGCCAUUAACCAUGAUUUCCACUCAUUGUUACAAGGCAUUGCACUUGUUAACGUAUACUUCAUUCAAGUCUAAACAUUAUAGGACAUUAUUCACUCGCAGGCCAUUAAAUACUCUUCUUAUCAUCAUUAUGUACCAAUUUUGCAACAUCUUUUGAAAAUGAUACAUUGUAUCCUUUGUCACAUAAUUGGACUAAUGCUAUAGUCUAGAUUGUGUUUAGACUUUUGACAGCAAUUACAUCAGAAAUGUAGUGGCAAGCAAGUGGUUACCUAACCACUACCUUUACCUAGUAUUGCCCCCGGUUGUUGUCACCAUAGGUCUACAUAAUCCUUCUUCUUAGCCACGAAAGGUCACAUAAGAGUGAUAUGGGUCUCCUGGACAUGUGCCUUGAGCAUCCACUGUCGAGAACCCAUCUCUCUCCGUAGUCUCGAGGCAUUGUACCUACUGGAUGCAAUUACAUGAGAAGGUACCAAUGGCCUUAUUGGGUCCUGAAUGGUGAGAGUAACGAAAUGGUUGCAUUUGGGCACGCCAUUGAUAAAUUGCCUUUAGGAACUAAGAUCUCCCUAAACCUUGCAUUUUGCAAUGGUGGCCUUUUCUUGCAACAAUAAAGACAAGAGAAAGAUUAACAUUUUAAUACCUUUUCUAUCUUCAUUCCUUUUACAAUUUUAUAUUUUUGAUUAUGGCCGUAUAACCAUACUUUUUCGAAAGUUUGAUUUAUCAGAUUGCCAAAGUGUAAUCUUGGGCUCAAAGCACCUUGUCAAAGUUCUGGCCUUUUAGGGUUUCUUUUACUUCACCUUGCCAAAUAUAAACAAGUAUCACACCCAAAAGUUAAUCAUCCUACUUCUAAGUUUCCUCACCAACCUGUUUGGCUUUCUUACUACUAGAAGCUUUUUGAGUGCCUCAGUUUCCUUUCGGAUGUUUCUCGAACUUUUUUAUUCCGAAAUGGGGUAAAAAUUUGUUUUUGAAGGCAAGCCUUUUCUAAAGGCCUCUUUAACUUCACAGUUUGUAAAGUAUCAAAAAGCGCUUGUAAUUCAUGAUGAGACAUACUAGAGGAUUUUUUCAUAUUAGCAUGUCGUUACCCUGUUUCUUUUGUUCUUUUGGAUGAGCACGAUAGGCAUAGGUUUGCGGCUUUCAUUCUUCAUCACUAGAACUUUCAUCAUCGGACGGAGUCGCUAUCGCUUUCCCAAGCUAGGUGUAUGCUCUCCUUGGCUGUGAUGUUUCUUUGUGUGAUGUGUAUGAUUCCUUUCCUUUAGUCUUUUUUGUUCAUCGGACAGUCGUUUGGUAAUGACCGGGCUUUCCCACAAGGUGUAGAGCCCCUCUAGUCAUUUACCUUUUUGAUGUCAUCAUUUUUAGAGUAACCUUGAAUUGUUUUCCGGAAUUACCAAGUUCUUCUCGAAAUGUGGAUGUCAUUUCUUUCUCACGUAACGGUUGUUAACGUUUAACGACACAACCCCAUAUUUUCGCUCUUGUCCUCUUCUUCUUCGCGCUCGAGGAAAUAAUCACUUUGCUCUUUUUGCUGAGACUUCGAGGAGGAAGUCUUAAGAGGCUAUGGAUUUUCUUUUCACUCACCUUUUGCUUUUGUCUUCUUUUCCUUCUUUUUCGUGUUGUUCUAGGCUCAAGAGUACUUGUUCUGCUCUUGUUAAUUGCCAAAUAAGUUGUUGUCAAGUCUAAUAUGGUAAGAUCCAUUUGCUUCUUUGAUGCCGCGGUCACUUUUCGGCUUGCCAUUUCCCUUGUUAAGACAUCUCAAGAUCUUUAUUAGUAGCAACAUCAUUGGAAACCGACCUACCUAGUCGAAUGUAUCGAAUUGAUAAGAUGAUGAGGUAAAAUCUCUUUUGCAUGUCGGCAUAUGGUUUCCCCUUGCUCCAUUGAAAAAGAGAUCAAAAACUCUUGUUGUUAGUGUGGUUGAUUCUUGCACAUUAACAUCAUUCGUCCCCUCAUGGGCCCAAUUUGUAGUGAAAAUCCCACAUGGCCUUGCAGUAGACAAUGGGAUUACACGUAGUAUUCAUCUACCACCUAAUGAGGAGAUUAGGAUAUUUUUGGCUUUCCAAUCAUAAUUGUAUUUCUUUUUCAUCAUUCAUCGGUCCAUUUGUGCUUCGGGCUUAGGCACUAAUUCAUUAUUCUCAUUGCGUCAUGGUUAUUUCAAUUGGACCAUUGAGAAAUAACGUUCCAUAUUUUUCUAUCUAUGGAAUUUAUGUGCACCCGCAUACAGCUUUCCAAUAACUAUUAAUUUUUCACCAUUGAAACGGGAGCUAUUUAUAAGCCCCUUUGGUCGUUAGCCAUUUUCUAUCAAGUUAUAUUUGAAGCACGGAGUGAACCGGAGCUCCUGAUACCACUUGUUAGACUAUUGCACGGAUCUAGAAGGGGGGGGGGGGUUGAAUAGAUCCAAUAAAAUUUGAGUCGGCGCUACAAUUUAAAUUUGGUUUGAAGAUUUGUUUUAAGUGCGGAAGCGACCGAGGAAUAUAUAGUCUAAAACGAACUGUUAUUGAAAAACUGGAUAUGCGUCAAGCCUAUGGAUUAGUGAUAAUGUAGAAUACGAAUUACACUAGUCACACAAUCAAUGAUUUUGUUUCACUUACUAGGAUUCCUAGUUCCAAUGAUUCAAAGAGCAAACCAAACUGGAUACACAACUAAGAUAAUUUUGGUUUAGGCAAAUUAUCAAACACUUGGUGUGGCAAAAACACUCCAAGUGAUAUUUAUAGUUGAGUAAGAGAUUUCAAUUAGUCUAGUACAAUAUUUUAUUGUACUUUUGAAUUCAAAAACAAAGUUUAACUUCUUACUCAAUUAAUAUCAGUUUGAUAAAAGUGCUUAUACAAAAAUCACUUAAUUUUUAAGCUAAAAACAAUAUGCAGAAAAUUAGAGAAGCAAGAUUUGAUGAGGCAGUUCCCCCGUCGUCCUCGCUUCGGGGUACGUCUGCCCUCAAUUCUAAAACUAGAAUUGAGAUGAUUUAAUAGAUAUCACCUGUUGAAUUUAACCGUUUAUACAAGGAUUGCAAAGCAAAUAUACAACAGAACUCUUAAGACGUUGAAUGUUGCUUCCACUCCUUGUUCCUUGAUUCAAGGUGAAUCAAGUCCUUCGAUUGUUGUUGAUAAACCUCCGUUUCCAGCCCCUUUGUUGAAUAACCCUCAGUUCUUCAAACCCUCGGCCAUAGCAGGACUAUGCGUCGACGUAUGGCCUGCAGUUUUGGUCAGACUAAAAAAUACAUCAGUAUGCGUCGACCAUAGGUCGGCGUGCGCUGACCCGUGGUUCAUGCGCUGACCCCCGCGGUCGACGCAAGCAUCUUGUACGCUGACCCGUGGGAAAAGCAAUGUGUUCAUGCGCUGACCCGUGGGGAAUGCACUAUGUUAUGUGCCGACCCUACGGUCGACUCAUACCCUGCAGAUCUGCAAAAAAUCAGAUUUUUGUGGUUUUCAUGCAUUUUGUCAUGACCAUAUUUUAUCCACAUAUGUUGUAUAAAAUAUAACAGUAUAGAUGGGCAUAGAAAAGGAUAUGAUAGGUGAUAUGUUGCAUUUGUUUUGUAGAGGUGGAAUCGACAAUGCCGAUUCAUCCAUGGUGGUCAUUUGUCAUCAUCGAAACCUAUGAUUGUAUGUUGUAUGACAGUUUGCCUUUACACCCCGUUCUCCAGAAAAUGCCCAGGACUUCCUUUUCUCCAUUUGAACCCCAAUUUUCGCGUUAAUCGCGUAACGUUCUCCGAUCUUCAUUUCCAUCUCCGCCCGACGGAAUCUCUUCCUCCAAUAUCGCGCUACUAGGAACAAUUGUUGAUCCAACGUCACGAUGCUAAACUCCUCAGAGUAACAUCUUCACCAACCAGCUAAACCAAUUCUCAAAUGGUAACCACGGCUCGAGACUAGCUUAUGCUUGCAAUGCCAGUGCAUGAAUUUUACAGCGUAAUGCUCCAUAACCAUGGAAAUGCUACGCAAUUAGUUAUGCAAUAUGCUAUGCUUCUCUAAAUGAUGAAUGCAUAAAAAGUAUCCCCCUCAAGGGACGGCACGAGCAACUCUGUUGAGGAACUCGAUAUCACUCCAAUCUCCAACCCUACUUGGGAUGACACUGCUGCUGGGGAAAGGAUAAUCCCCACUAGGGAUAACCUCCACUGAACUCGAUCCGCUUGGGGACUUCACUGGGGAAGAACUACCAACGCACACCCCUGCCGGGGAAACAGCAACCCUUCAGACCUGUUGGGGAAAUAACAACCUUAACCCUGCUAGAGGAGACAGCAAACUUCUGGCCUGGCUGCCGAGGAAACACCGACCUCAAACCUGCUGGGGAAACACAGAAUUUUUGACACGAAACACCUGUCGACUCGUCGAACACUGAUAUUCACCAUCUAACCACAGUGUCAACUUUCCACUUCUUCAGACUUUGAAGAGUCUUCUUGAUUAACCCUCUAGGAUCGUCAUCAUCCUUUCGUCGUCUUUACACCAUUCUUCAACUCCUUAUCCCUGAUUGGACCUCAAAGGAAUCUUUUGUCAAAAGAAAUGGUUCGCACCACAUCCUGCAAGUGAGUGAAAAUAACCAACAGCACCUGCAAAAGAGAUCGUUAGAUAAAACGUGCCCCAGGCGUGCCAAAAUUUCAACACCAAGGUCACUCAACCUUCCGAAUAAGAUUUCAAGUUUUAAUCCUAUAAGCAUGCAUUGGAAGGGACCCCUAUGUCUCAAAAUGCACAGAUUCUUAUCAAAAUAAACGGAUGUUUUUGCAAUCAAAGCGGUAAUGAAAACAAAAACAAAAUUAUUUGACUGAAUAUGCUUUUUAUUGAUUGAAAAAGGUGGCUCGUAACUGAGCAAUACACAGGAAGUAAUCCCUGAAAAGAGGUAAUUGCGCACAAAAGGAAAAUUUAUCCUAAUGGCAAUGUGAAACCGUGAUCUCAUCGAGUUCCAACCCGGUUACAACCCAUAUGUCCUCAAGACUCUCCACGCUUUCUGUCUUCCGAAACAAGACGCUUCCGACCGAUCUCUACCUUCAGAUUAUCCAUGUGUCAUAUCCACAGUACAAACGAUCAUGCUAAAAGCAGUUGUUCGUUUCAUUCCCUCUUUUUCCUGGACCGCCCUUUCGGGUUUUCAGUCCACCGGGAUACCCUUUUUUGCCCAAGCCGCCCUUGUGGGGUUUUUGACUUGCCGGGUGUACAGUUUUUUUUAUCUUUUUAUCCCUAAUUUUUGGCCGAACCCUUUGUUCAUUUUUUUGGUUCGCCGGGAUGCCCAUUUCUGCCUGGACUAUUUUAUUCUUUUCGUCCAGCGGGUCUCUUAUACGAAGUAUUUUUUAACUGCGUCCGUAUUCACAGGGGAUGGAAAAUCCUCACCAUCCAUGGUCGUCAACAACAAGGCUCCGCCAGAGAAAACCUUCUUGACCACGAAUGGACCCUCAUAAUUGGGUGUCCACUUGCAGUCGUCAACAACAAGGCUCCGCCAGAGAAAACCUUCUUGACCACGAAUGGACCCUCAUAAUUGGGUGUCCACUUGCCCCGACGAUCGUUCUAAGGAGGAAGGAUCCUUUUCAACACCAUAUCUCCCACAUGAUACAUACGAGGUCGCACCUUUCGGUCAAAAGCAUGCUUCAUUCACUGCUGGUACAAUUGCCCAUGACAAAUGGCCAUCAACCUCUUUUCCUUAAUCGGGCUCAACUCUUCAUAUCGAGUCCUUACCCACUCAGCCUCUUCCAAUUUCACAUCCAUCAGGACUCUCAAUGAAGGAAUCUGGACCUCAACUGGUAGCACAGCUUCCAUCCCAUACACCAGCGAGAAAGGCGUUGCCCCAGUAGAUGUAUGCACUGAGGUUCGAUACCCAAGAUACAAGCUUCGUAUUCAGCCACAUUGUUGGUGCAUUCAAAUGUUAGUCGGGCAGCAAAAGGAAUGUGGGAUCCCUUCGGCGUAACCAAAACAGCACCAACUCCGCUACCAUUCAUGUUAACGGCCCCAUCAAACAUCAGAAUCCAUUCGGAUUCAGGGUCAGGCCCCUCCUCUGGGAUAGGUUCCUCACAAUCUUUCGAUUUGAGAAACAUGAUGUCCUCAUCAGGGAACUCAAAUUUCAUCGAUUGAUAAUCCUCAAUGGGUUGCUGGGCGAGGUAAUCAAACAAUACACUCCCCUUUAUUGCUUUUUGAGAAGUGUACUGGAUAUCGUAUUCAGUCAAAAUCAUUUGCCAUCUCGCAACCCGUCCGGUCAAUGCUGGCUUCUCAAAUAUAUACUUGAUCGUGAUCCAUCUUGGAAAUCAACAAAGUGUUAUGAACCAGCAUAUACUGUCUCAGUUGGCGAGCAGCCAUGCCAAAGCGCAACAAGUUUUCUCGAGCAGUGAAUAUUGUUUUCACAGUCGUAAACUUUUGCUAAGGUAGUAAAUUGCGUGGCUCUUUUCGACCAGACUCGUCAUGCUGCCCCAAUACACACCCCAUAGACCCCUCAAGGACUGUCAAGUACAGGAUUAACCUGUUCGUCCUUCCACAGGAGGCAUCAGAAUCGGAGGCUCCUGCAAAUAUUCUUUUAUUUUUCCAAUGCCUCUUGGCCAAUCAUCAUUCCACCUGGACCGUUUGAUCUUUUCUCAACAACUUGAAUAUGGGUUCACACGUGGCUGUUAGAUGAGAUAUGAACGUGAAAUGUAGUUCAAUCUACCUAUGAAACCACGAACCUCCUUUUCUGUUCUCGGGUUCAGCAUUUCUUGUAUCGCUUUUACUUUAGCAGGACUCAACCUCGAUUCCUCUUUCACUUUACAAUAAACCCCAGCACUUACCGGACCGCACUCCGAAAGUGCACUUAUUCGGAUUCAACCUCAAUUUGAAUUGUCUCAACCGGUCAAACAAUUUGGCCAAGUCUACCAGAUGCCCCUCUUCUGUUUGGGACUUUGCUAUCAUGUCAUCAACAUAGCAUUCGAUCUCAUGAUGAAUCAUAUCAUGAAACAAAGUUACCAUAGCUCUUUGAUACGUGGCACCGGUGUUCUUGAGACCGAAUGGCAUCACCUUAUAACAAAAAGUACCCCACGGUGUGAUGAACUUUGUUUUCUCCAUAUCAUCUGGCGACAUUUUAAUUUGAUUAUAGCCAGAAAAGCCAUCCAUGAAGGAAAACACCGAGAAUUGAGCUGUAUUAUCUACCAACACAUCGAUGUGAGGUAAUCGGAAAUCAUCUUUCGGGCUAGCUCUGUUCAAAUCCCGGUAGUCCACACACAUCCCCACCUUUCCGUCCUUCUUCGGUACUGGCACAAUGUUCGCGACCCAAGGCAGAUAAAUAGUGACAACUAGGAAACCAGCAUCCAACUGCUUUUGCACUUCCUCUUUGAUUUUCAUGGCCAUCUCGGGUCGAGUUCUGCACAACUUCUGCUUCACUGGAGGACAAUCUUCUCUCAAUGGCAACCUAUGUACAACAAUAUUGGUAUCCAACCCUGGCAUAUCUUGAUAAGACCAGGCGAAGAUAUCAACAUACUCUUUUAACAGCGCUACCAUUCUGCUCUUGACAUUCACCUCCAAAGCGGCCCCAAUUUUCACUUCCUUUCUGACCUCCUCGGUACCCAAAUUAACAAUCUCAACUCGCUCCUCAUGCGGUUGAAUCACCUUCUCCUCUUGUUUCAACAACCUGGCUAAUUCUUCCGGCAGUUCACAAUCUUCUUCGCCUUCUUCUUCGGCAUGAUAGAUCGGGUUGUCGAAGUCAUAUGAGGGUGUAACAGGGUUGUUAUCAACGAGAUCCGGAGAAUGAUCGCAUCUGCAUGAAUGUUGAUUCAUGCAUUGCUUUUAGAACCGGAACGAAGCAAAUUAAAAGGAAGAAAAAUGAAAACAAACAUUGCCAUUUUUUAUUUUAUUUUUAAACUGCAAAAAUAAAUGAAAAACAGAGAACACUGCUUCUAAUGCGAAAAACAUCCAUGUAUUAAUGAUGCAAAUGUUGCAAAAUGAAACACAUGAGGUGGCCCUUACAAUGGACCAUUACGUUUCGGGCAAAACGUAUGGCUUUCAUGCAAACAGAAUUGAAAAACAGAAAUAUUACUCUUCACGACGUUUCGGGCAAAACGUAUGGCUUUCAUGCAAACAGAAUUGAAAAACAGAAAUAUUACUCUUCACGCAGAGUGACAGUGAUGAUCUUUUCGGCCUUCCAGUUCUGGAUCUCCAUCCCUGGUACGCACAAUUUUAUCCACGAGUCGAGCUCGCAGUCACUGUCAGUCUCUUCACCCACUGCACAGACGCGAUCUGGAUCUAACAUUCCAGCACUGGUGAACGUGAAUGGUUGACGACGUCCUCUAUUCUGUCCAGACGAGCCUUGGCCCGACUGAUAACCAAUCCCAAACCUGUCCUCUUUCGCCGUAAUGUCUAUUAUUCUUCCCCAACCUGGGGCCUCUCCCCCAACCGGUUAGCGUUGAAUGGAUCCAUCAGUCUGGGCUUGUUACGUCUGGUAAAGUAUCUGUGCGGACGAGUUACGUGCAGAGGAAUGACUCGGUGUGCUCGAGCAAUGAUUCCUAAGUCAAUCAAACAUGUUAGAUACUGACACCUGCAAAAUAGAAGACAAGUUAUUAUGAUUCAUGCAUGAAUGCAAUGUCUAUCCGUAUGAGGAACAUUUUGUCCUUCGAUCCUGGCUUCAUUGAGACGAACAUGUUAGAUACUGACACCUGCAAAAUAGAAGACAAGUUAUUAUGAUUCAUGCAUGAAUGCAAUGUCUAUCCGUAUGAGGAACAUUUUGUCCUUCGAUCCUGGCUUCAUUGAGACGGAUAAUAAUUCGACGGUAACAUUCUGAUAUCAAUCAUCUGGCUUUGCCGUACAGAACAGAAAGUUAUGAAGAUGUCUCUCAACCAGAAUCUCAAUCAAGAAUGUACCCCGCAUAUGGAUAAACAUGAGUUAGAUGCGGAUGAAUGCAAAAUGGGAAUGAUGCAGAUGCAUGUAUGCAAUUCAUGGUGCCGUCCUCCAAGUCAUCUUAACAUCAACUGUACUGGAUUCCGGUCUCUGAACUGAUCACAACCAUUUGAGGGAUUAAUUAACCACAAAUCCAACUCGGGGAUUCCGAAAUAAACGGAACCGGAGGAUACAUCACCAUCAUCACAGGACAAUCACUGAACGAAUAACAACAAAAUCAUCUGAACAAGUAACCUCAAAUCCAACUCAGGGGAUCCGAAAUAAACGGAACCCGCUCAUAAAUACCGCGGACAGAACUCCAGCGUAUCAGAAAUAAAUAUCCAUAAAUCCAACUGAACCAAUGUCACCAUCACAAAAUCACUGACAGAACCUGUUUUUGUAAUAAUCAAACCCCUCCCCUCACAGGUGAAUUCUAAUAAGGUCAUCCUAAGGCGGAUAAUCGGUCUCGACAAUCGGAUAAGAUACUCAACGGGUUUGCCCUUUCGGGUGUGCCAUGCAGCUCUCAUAAGAUCAUCUAAACCAAAGAUCCGGGAAAGAGCGGUCACCGAAGUCAACAGCUCAAAAGAGAUAACCCAACCAUAGUGGAAACUCCACAAGGAAGAGUUCUCUCAGAAGAACCUCGUCCGGCUAUGGUAUGUCACGUCUCAACAUCAUGUUGAUCCAACAUAAGCAGAGACAUGAGACCACACUAAUCCUAGGUGUAUACUCGGGCUUUGGGUUUCAGCCCCACUCAGAACACCCACCCCAAAAUCAGAGGAACCACACCUGUCCAGAAUCAAGCACAGUGAUAAUAUGAUGCAUGCAAACAUAUAUUCAAAUAUAUACAAUCACAAUAUAAUAAUCACAAAUGCAAUAAAUAAGCAGUAAAAGCAACUCAAACUACCCUAGAGAGCGCUAGGAUUGACUCGCUUAGGGAAGAUGGACCAGCAAGGGGUCAACUUCUGUCCCCAGCAGAGUCGUCAGCUGUCGCAACGCGAAAAACAACCGGCGGAAAAAUUACAGAUUACAGAGCCACCACCGACGUUAUUCAUCCUAUAACGGAAAGGGAGCGCAUGACUAACCUAAGAAAGGGAAAGGAAUGGUCUUACGACCAGAGAUUACAAGGUACGGGAGUCGGUUACGCAAGGGGAAGGUAUUAGCACCCCUCACAUCCGUCGUACUCGACGGGAUCCACGCUCAAAAGAUAGCUCAAAGAGUAAGAAAAGGUUGCUAAUAAAACUGCUCAAAGAAAAUGCACAAACUGGAAUAAAAAACAGGUGGGAGGAAAAAACAGAGGAAGUGGACUCGGCAGGAUGUCGCAUCCUAGGCCUACGUAGUUUGUCAGAAACAAACAUCAGAGUCAACGUAGUUCGGGGAAAGGGAGACAUGCUCGCUAAGACAUCGCGUCCUAUGCCUACGUAUCUUCUCUAUCUAGAGGAGAAUCAGAGCACUCGUAGCUCGGCUAAUGCACGCCGAAACAAGACACUAAAAAGGAGACGCUGAGACGUCAAAUAAAACACCCAAAAGGAAACAGAUUUCCAAUACAUGGACUUACACCCGACUCCUGACAAUAACCAAACAAAAGGAAACAGAAUGCCAAUACAUGGACUUACAUCCGACUCCCAACAACAGCAAACAAAGAGGAAACAGAAUGCCAAUACAUGGACUUAUAUCCGACUCCUAACAAUAACAAAUAAACAGGAAACAGAAUGCCAAUACAUGGACUUAUAUCCGACUCCUAACAAUAACAAACGCUAACCAGCGAACACCAAAGAAAAAGGUUAUCAGAAUGAACCCCAACAAAGUAACCAAAUAUCCAAAGAUGAACCCCAAAGAUGAACCCCAAGUGAAUAAUCACCACAAACGUCGCAAACGAACCCCAAGUGAGUGACAACCGUCACAAAUAAACCCCAAAGAUGAUAACCAUCAUCACAAACGUCGCAAAUGAACCCCAAGUGAGUGACAACCGUCACAAAUGAACCCCAAAGAUGAACCCUAAAUGAUACAGGUAAACCCCAAUAUGAACCCCAAGUGAUACAGGUAAACCCUAAUAUGAACCCCAAUAUGAAUGACAACCGUCAUAAAUGAACCCCAAAGAUGAACCCCAAAUGAAUCUCAAAGAUGAACCCCCAUAAGGUAUAAACAUACCACACACGCCCACGCUGGGCAAACAAGUACUCACACCAAAACAAAGAAGAGGGUGAACACACGCAAACAACACAACAUAAAAGAAAAAGGGUGACCACACACACAAAAAAACAAAAGGGUGCCCGGAGAGAUUGCUCACAACCUCCUGCCUACGUAUCUCAUCUGGUAUGAGAAUCAGGGCGACGUAGUUCCCCUUAACAGGGGAAAGGAGACAACAAACUAAAUAGGGAGACUAAGACUCGAGCCUAAUAGUUUGUCAUGCCAACAAUAUCCCUAAGUCGGGAAUAAGGGUGAUGAACACCACAAAAAAACAAAAGGUGCCCGAGAGAUUGCUCGCAACCUCCUGCCUACGUAUCUCAUCUGGUAUGAAAAUCAGGGCGACGUAGUUCCCCUUAACAGGGGAAAGGAGACAACAAACUAAUAGGGAGACUAAGACUCGAGCCUAAUAGUUGUCAUGCAAUCAAAUAUCCCUAAGUUAAGGUCUCUAACAAGAAUCCUACUUCCUCAAAAAUCAAUCAUACAACUCCUACAAAAAUGGAGAUGAGAAGAGGAAAGCAGAUAAACACACCAACACAAGUGAACAAGCAUCACACACUAUAUCCAUACAAGAGGCCCAAACAAUGGGUAGGCUUUAGUCAAGAGAUGUCAUAUCAACCUCGACAAACAAGCCAAACUGUAAGGGUAAUCAACUGGGCUCUUAACCACUGACAUUGAACGUCAGGGUGAGCAGAUCAAAAUGGUAAUAAGGAUGAGACCUCAUAGCUCUUAACCCUGGCCAGGGUGAGCUCAUGACAAAGAAAGCGUGGGGAUCCAGAAAGUGGGAUCCUAUUCCACUUGACAGACUCUGGACAAAGAUCUUGGGUACAUGUUCAAAAGCAUCAGCACGUAGUGCGAGCAUAAAGAACGACUCACUGAAUAAUGUACCUGUACAAAAGCUAAACAGUUAAUAUUUCAGUCAGAAAACCAACAGACAAACAGUGAAACCAUUCAUAAUUACACAACUCAAUGAACAAUGCUCAAGCAAUCAAAUGAGGCAAUGAGCUCAAUUUGCAUCUCAAAAGGUGAGCAACUCAACCAUUAAUGCUAAGUGUCCAAACCUGAAACACAAGACAAGGUUAGUUCAUGUACAAAACACUAGUACAAAGACUAGGUCCAAACCAAACCAAAUGAUCCAAACAGAAGUCAAUCUUUUACAUAAUGCACAUUCAAACAUGUCACAAAAUUUCCUCAAAAGGACCAGCCUCCAUUCAUUAAGCAAAUGCAUCAAAUGGCUUGUGUUAUGCAAUGACAAACAAAUGAGUACAAAAUGGACAUCCACAUUAGAAAAUCCAAAUCAAAUCAGAAAUGCAUGCAAUGACCUUGAAAUUUUUUAUGCAAGUUCCACGUAUCAUGAAUGAUCAACAUGCAAAAUAUCAAAUCCAGAAAGAUUCAAAUGCUAUGUGAACAAAAAUGUGACAAUCCAAUGCCAAAAAUGUGACACAAAUUGUCACAUUUUUCUUCAUGUGUCAAAAGUGAUGAUAGCAUAUGAGAAAAAUUCCAAACCAAUGCUCAAAAAUUCACAUCAUGUAUGAUCAUUAAGCAUGCAAAAAAUCAGAUCAAUUGGAUCAAAGAUGAAGAUUUCACAAAGCAAUGAAUGCAACAUAUCAAAAUAGCAUGGCAUGGAUCAAAAAAUUCACAAAUAAAAAUCCAGCAAACAACAAUUCAUGAAAAUAAUAUCAAAAAAAAAAACUAGACAUCAAAACAGAACUAUGAAAAAAAUUUGGAGUUAAUUUGGAUCAUUUUUCAAUUUUUAAUGAUUUUUCAAAGUAACUACAAUAAUAUGAAAUCACAUGGAAAUAUGGAGGGAAAAGAGAUAUUUCAAAUAAUACUCAGAAUAUUCACAUCCACACGAUCAGGCGCGAGAAUCACAUCAACGGUCCAGGUUUGAACAU